This 55296-nucleotide long non-coding RNA is filed under the name Gossypium barbadense (sea-island cotton). RNAcentral describes it as "long non-coding RNA (GBAR_LNC016688)". Lineage: Eukaryota; Viridiplantae; Streptophyta; Magnoliopsida; Malvales; Malvaceae. The record is from RNAcentral.
UUUAAACUGAUAAUAAUUCAUUUAUCAUACGAAGUCCAUAGGUAUGACCGUUCCAUCAUAGUGUACAAUGAGACUCAGACAUAAGACAAACAGGCAUGAAAACGCACUCAAUGUCUCAAACUACAACAAAAAAACACCAAUUUAUUCAACUCAAAUUCAUUAUUUUUAGGUCCUAAUAUUGCUAUGGACUAAAACAUCAUGGUUCUAUGUCUGCUUAAUGAGUGCCACAUGUGCAGUUUGUGCAGCUGCAGCUAUCUCCACCCUUGCACUUGCCAUCGUUCCCUGCCACAGCCUCGACCACUACAGUGCUGAUGUAGCUGCAAAGAAAUAUCACAACAGAUUAUAUUUAAGCAUAUGUGUGUUGAGAGCUGGACUGCAAUGCAACAUGAAGCCAGCAGCUAUCGAAUUCAGCUCAUUUUGCUUGGUGCGCAAGAAUGAAACUCAACCGAAUGAAGCAACCGAUUUUAAUCAUUUUGUUGUAAUGAUAUUUAGCUUAGUUCAAUUGUAACCAACUCUUAAAGUUAGUAGGAUUAAGUUUAUGAUUUGAUUUUUGAUGUAAAAGCUGAUAUGUCAGCUUAUCUUUUUAGUUGUUUAAGUUUGUAUUAGUUAAGCAUUAGUGGAGGCAGUUAGAUUAUUAGGUAACUGUCAUUUGAGCCAAAAUUGUAACUCCUUUUUAUUUCAAAUUUGAAUGAAAAAAUGGCAAUGUUCAGUUACAAAAAAAAAUUUGUCUGUGCAUUCAAGUUUCUUGCUGUUCUGCUUGUUUUCCUUUUGCUCGAUCACCUUUGCUUCUGUCUUGUUACUUUGUUUGCUGUAAAUGCUGCCAAUGUUCCAACAAAUGGUAUCAUGAGCCUGAAUCUUUGAGGGGCCUUUGUAUGCAAUCUGUUGUGUUCAAAUUAAAACCAACAGCAAAGUUCAAGAUUUAAAAAGAUCGAAGCUUUUUAAACUCAGUCUAGCAGGAUGAAUUUUACUCCACCACCUCCACCAGUGUUCACUGGAGAAAACUAUCACAUUUGGAUAGUCAAAAUGAAGACUUACCUUCAGGCACACGAUCUUUGGAGUGUGAUCGAGAAUGAUGCUGAACCACCUCCAUUGAGAGCUAAUCCCACUAUAGCACAGAUGAGACAGCAUGCAGAGGAGAGAGCCAAGAAGCACAAGGCUAUGGCUUGCUUGCAAAAUGGAGUCUCUGAUGUGAUAUUCACUCGCAUCAUGGCCUGUGGCUCACCUAAGCAGGCCUGGGAGAAGCUGAAGGAGAAGUUCAUGGGGACUGACAAGACAAGGCAACAGCAAGUGAUUAAUCUCAGGAGAGACUUUGAGAAUUUGAGAAUGAAGGAGUCUGAGACCAUCAAGUAGUACUCAGACAGGAUAAUGGCCAUUGUCAACAGCAUUAGGCUCCUAGGAGUGGACUUCACAGAGAGCAGAAUUGUUGAAAAAGUUAUCACAACUCUCCCUGAGAAAUUCGAGUCAAAAAUCUCUUCACUUGAGGACUCGAGGGACUUAUCAGCCAUUUCAUUAUCUGAGCUGAUAAACUCCUUGUAUGCACUUGAGCAAAGGAGGGCAAAUAGGCAGGAGGAGAAUCCUGAGGCUGCUUUCCAAGCUAAAGCCAAUGAAGGCUCGAGUGUGAGUGCAAAAGGCAAGAAGCCUUGGCACAAUAGAAGGGUCAAGUCAAGAAGAGAUGAAGCAAAAAGAGUGUUCCCACCAUGUGUUCACUGCAAGAAGACAACACAUUCAGAAAAGUAUUGUUGGUUUAGGCCAGAUAUCCAGUGCAGAAAGUACAAGCAGUUUGGCCAUGUUGAGAAGGUGUGCAAGGGCAAACCAAGGGAGGCUGCUCUGCAACAAGCUAGACCUGCUGAGGACAUGCAAGCUCAGGAGGAGCAUGUAUUCACAGCAACCUGUUUUGUUGGCACAACCAGGGCAUGCAAUGAUUGGCUACUAGACAGUGGCUGCUCACAUCAUAUGGCAGUAGAUGAGAAGCUGUUUAAGGGCCUAGACAGAAGCUUUCACUCGAGGAUCAGAAUUGGAGAUGGCAAGCUGAUUGAGGCUAAGGGCAAGGGCAAUGUGUUGGUUAGCACUGGUUCAGGUAACAAGCUAAUCUUAUAUGUACUUUUUGUACCUGACUUAGACCAGAAUCUGCUUAGUGUAGGCCAAUUGGUUGAAAAAGGGUAUACCUUGGUCUUUAAAAAUGGUUGCUGCAUUGUUCAAGACAUGAAUGGUCUAGAGUUAGUCACAGUCUCUAUGACUGAUAGGUGCUUCAUGCUGGAUGUUAGCCAAGUAGAAAGGAAGGCAUACACCAGCCUUGCUGACAACACUGACUUAUGGCAUAGGAGACUUGGCCAUACCAACUUCAGAUCUAUUGAUCUGCUACAUAGGCUAAAUUUGGUUGAUGACAUUUUAAAGAUUGAGGUUAGUGGGAAUGUUUGUGAGGUUUGUCAGCUUGGUAAGCAUGCUAGACUGCCUUUUCCUGCUGACAGUGCUUGGAGAGCUCAGAAUAAGCUCGAAUUGGUGUACUCUGAUGUUUGUGGUCCCAUAAGAAUACCUUCAAUCAAUGAGAACAUGUACUUUGUCCUGUUUAUAGAUGAUUUAACAAGGUUGUGCUGGGUCUACUUCUUGAAGCAGAAGUCAGAAAUGUUUGAAGCCUUCUGCAAAUUUAAGGCAUAUGCUGAAAAUCAGUCAGGCUGCAAAAUUAGAGCCUUAAUGACUGAUAAUGGCUCUGAAUAUGUGUCUGAGAGAUUUCAGAAGCUUUGUGACAAUGCUGGGAUUCAUCAUCAACUUACAACAGUCUAUACUUUUCAACAGAAUGGAGUCUGUGAGAGGAAGAAUAGGACUGUGCUGAACAUGGCCAGGUGUCUCUUGUUUCAAGGCAAGCUUCCAAGCCAGUUUUAGGCUGAGGCAGUUAACACCUCAGUGUACUUGCUCAACAGGCUGCCAACUCGAGCAGUCAAGGAUAAGACUCUUUUUGAGGCCUGACAUGGAGUCAAACCAGUUGUAACACACCUAAAAGUGUUUGGCUGUGUGUGUUAUGCUCUUAUUCUAGUAGAGAAGAGGACUAAGCUCGAGAGCAGGGUUGCACCAGGAAUCUUUGUUGGCUAUAGCAGCAACAAGAAGGGUUAUAAAGUGUAUGAUCCUACAGCAAAGAAGGUCUUAGUUAGCAGGGAUGUGAAAUUUGAUGAGGAUAAGGUGUGGAAUUGGAAUGGUGUUGAAGCUGAUAUGUCUGAAAUGGACCAGUUAGACUUGGUUGCUGAACCUGCAGAAGAAGGACCAAGUGAUGAUGUUGUUGAUGAUACACCAGUAAGGGGCACCAAAACUUUGGCUGAUGUUUAUUAGAGGUGCAAUGUUGCUAUGAUUGAGCCCUCAGACUUUGAAGAGGCUGUUAAGGACAAAAGCUGGAUGAAGGCUAUGGAAGCUGAGUUGGAAAUGAUCAAUAAAAAUCAGACAUGGGAAUUGGUGAGUAGACCAGAACACAAGAAGGUCAUAGGAGUCAAAUGGGUGUAUAGGGCCAAGUACAAUGCUGAUGGCUCACUGAACAAGUACAAGGCCAGGCUUGUAGUGAAGGGCUACAAUCAGCAAUAUGGAGUGGAUUUUUUGGAGACAUUUACACCAGUAGCAAGACUGGAUACAAUCAAGCUGCUAUUUGCUUUAGCAGCUCAAAAGAAGUGGAGGGUUCAUCAAUUUGAUGUAAAGUCAGCAUUCUUGAAUGGUUUUCUCAAGGAAGAGAUCUUCAUCGAGCAACCAGAAGGUUUUGAAGUUGCUGGACAUGAAGACAAAGUAUACAAGCUGAGAAAGGCUCUUUAUGGCCUGAAAUAGGCACCAAGGGCCUGGUAUGACAGAGUUGAUGCUUACCUGACCAAGCUUGGAUUUAUGAAGAGUCUUAGUGAGCCUACUCUGUAUGUUAAAAGGUCAGAAUUUGAAACCUUGCUGAUUGUCUCCUUGUAUGUGGAUGAUUUGUUAGUGACAGGGAGCAAAGUUGAGCUCAUUGAUGAGUUCAAGGUUCAAAUGCAGCAAGUGUUUGAGAUGACUGAUUUGGGGGUCAUGACAUACUUCCUUGGUAUGGAAGUUCACCAGUCUGAUCGAGGCAUCUUCAUCAGCCAACACACAUUUGAUUUGAAGAUUCUUGGCAAAUUUUGCAUGCAAAACUGUAAAGCGGCAAGUACACCUGUGGCUCAUAGAGAAAACUUGACUAGCAGUGGUGAUCAGCAAAGGGUGGAUGAGAGGCACUAUCGAAGCCUAGUAGGCUGCUUGUUGUAUCCAACAGCAACCAGGCCAGACAUCAUGUUUGGUGUUAGUCUGCUAUCGAGGUUCAUGCACUACUGUAAUGAGACACAUUUGAAGGCUGCAAAAAGGGUUCUUAGAUACAUCAAAGGCUCAGCUAACCUUGGGGUGAUGUUUGAAAGUGGAAGGAAUUAAAAUUGGAAUGUUACUCUGACAGUGACUGGGCAGGAUUCCUCGAUGACAUGAAGAGUACCUCUGGAUACUUCUUCACACUUGGAUCGGGCAUGUUUUGCUGGAGUUCAAAGAAGCAACAAACUGUUGCUCAGUCCACAGCUGAAGCAGAGUACAUUGCUGCAACAGCAGCAGUCAAUCAGGCCAUUUGGCUUAGGAAGUUGCUUCAGGAUCUUAAUGAAACACAAGCUGAUGCAACUGAAAUUUGGGUGGACAACCAGUCAGCAGUUGCCAUAGCCAAGAAUCCUGUGUUCCAUGGUAAAACUAAAUAUUUUAAAAUUAAACUGCAUUUUGUUCGAGAAGCUAAACAAGUAAAGGAAGUCAACAUUGUGCAUUGCAGCUCAGGGGCACAAUUGGCUGAUAUAUUGACCAAGCCCUUAGGGGCUGCUCGAUUUGAAUUAUUGAGAAGUGCAAUUGGAAUGUGUUGCAUACAGUCCAAUGAGGAGUGUUGAGAGCUGGACUGCAAUGGAACAUGAAGCCAGCAGCUAUCAAGCUCAGCUCAUUUUGCUUGGUGCGCAAGAAUGAAACUCGACCGAAUGAAGCAACCGAUUUUAAUCAUUUUGUUGUAAUGAUAUUUAGCUUAGUUCAAUUGUAACCAACUCUUAAAGUUAGUAGGAUUAAGUUUAUGAUUUGAUUUUUGAUGUAAAAGCUGAUAUGUCAGCUUAUCUUUUUAGUUGUUUAAGUUUGUAUUAGUUAAGCAUUAGUGGAGGCAGUUAGAUUAUUAGGUAACUGUCAUUUGAGCCAAAAUUGUAACUCCUUUUUAUUUCAAAUUUGAAUGAAAAAAUGGAAAUGUUCAGUUGCAAAAAAAAAAAAUUGUCUAUGCAUUCAAGUUUCAUGCUGUUCUGCUUGUUUUCCUUUUGCUCGAUCACCUUUGCUUCUGUCUUGUUACAUUGUUUGCUGUAAAUGCUGCCAAUGUUCCAACAAUGUGUUCGACUGUGCAAGACAUAGCUCCUUUUUUUUCUUCUCUAGGUAAGAAUAUGAUUACUUAUCCAAAUGGGUUCAAUUUUGGUUAAAUUAUUCAAUAUUGGUCCUAAUAUACCUCUUUUCAGUCUCAAUGACCAAGCUAUUUCCUUUCUUCCUAUAAGCAUAACAAAAAAAGCCUUCAGUUUCAAUGAUAAUUGAUUGCAAACUCAUGCAUUUAGUCACAUCAACCUUAAUAAAUUUAUAUCUUAUCUAUGAAAAAAUUUAUAAUUAAAUUUCGACCGCUAUUAAAUAUUUUUUUUGAAUUUUCCCCUAGUAGUAUGCAGCUAAAAAACAUGCAGAACUAACUUAGGAACAAUAACAAAAUCAAAGAACCACACACAACAGUAGAAACUGGUCGAAAGCUGAUGAUGGAAGGAUGAUUUCUUGCACGCACUGGCUCUUGUCAGAGUAGUCGCAGUUGCCACACUUGUCAGACAUGGUGAAUUUGAAAGAGUUGAGAGGUAAAAGGUUUGUUUGAGUUUCUAAAGUAGUUAAGCUAACUUGCGAUGUAUAUCUAAAGCUAUGCACUUGAUGUAUUUAUAGAAGAGGAAGUACAUUGAAAUGGUGCAAAGGGAAGGCAUCUGUAGGGGCCCAAGUAGGCAUAAGAGAAGCACACGCCUCUGCUACAAGAGUUCAAAGGAAAGGAAUCUUUGUUGGAACAAUGGCAGCAUGUAUCAACCCAAUUAGCAAGCAGAACCAAAUGGGAUCGAAUCAGAAAUGAAAACAAAGCAAAAUCAAUAAACAAGACUUGAAUAUUCAGCAAAAUGUAACUGAACAACUUAACUUUUUCAUUCAAAUUUGAAAAACAUAUACUGGAGUUACAAUUUGACUUAGUUGAUAGUUACCUAAUGAUAUAAUUGCUCCCACUUAAACUAAACUAAUACAAGUUUAAGUCAAAUACAAAGAUAAGCUGACAUACCAGCUUUUACAUAAAAAAUCCAAUCACAAACUUAAUCCUACUAACUUUGGAAGCUAGUUAAAACUGAACUAAGUAAAAUUACAUAGCAACAAAAUGACCAAAUUAGAUUACUUCAUUCGGUCUAGUUUUAUCCUUGCGCACCAAGCAAUGCUGCUGAGCUCGAUGGCCAACCAUGUUGCUGGUUUCAUGUUGUAAUACAGUCCAGCUUUUAACACUCCUCCUUGGACUGUAUGCAACACAUACCAAUUGUACUUCUCAAUGCCUCAAAGCAAGCAGCUCCUAAGGGCUUAGUUAGCAUAUUAGCCAAUUGUGCCCUUGAGCUACAACGAACAAGGCUGACUUCCCUUGUUUGCUCAGCCUCUCGAACAAAAUGCAACUUAAUCUUAAAGUGCUUAGUUUUACCAUGGAACACAGGGUUCUUAGCUAUGACAACUGCUGAUUAAUUGUCCACCCAAAUCUCAGUUGCUUCAGCUUGAGUUUCAUUAAGGUCUUGAAGCAGUUUCCUAAGCCAAAUGGCCUGAUUAGCAGCUGUUGCAGCUACAAUGUACUCUGCUUCAGCUGUAGAUUGAGCAACAGUCUAUUUCUUCUUUGAACUCCAGCAAAACAUACUCGAUCCAAGUGUGAAUAAGUAUCCAGAGGUACUCUUCAUGUCAUAAAGGGAUCCUGCCCAGUCACUGUCUGAAUAACCUUCAAGUUUCAACUCCUUUCCACUUUUAAACUUUACACCAAAGUUUGCUGUCCCUUUGAUGUAUCUAAGGAGCCUCUUUGCAGCCUUCAAAUGAACCUCAUUACAGCAGUGCAUGAACCUUGAUAGCAAACUGACACCAAACACAAUGUUUGGCCUAGUUGUUGUUAAAUACAACAGGCAACCUACUAGGCUUCGAUACUACCUUUCAUCAACCCUUUCUUGAUCGCCAUUGCUAGUCAGUUUUUCUCCUUGAGCCACAGGUAUGCUUACUGUUUUACAGUUCUGCAUGCAAAAUUUAACAAGGAUCUUCAAAGUAAAUGUGUGUUGGCUGAUGAAGAUGCCUCGAUCAGACUGGUGCACUUCCAUUCCAAGGAAGUAUGUCAUGGUCCCUAAGUCAGUCAUCUCAAACACUUGCUGCAUUUGAACCUUGAACUCAUCAAUGAGCUCAGUUUUGCUCCCUGUCACUAAUAAAUCAUCCACAUACAAGGAAACAAUCAACAAGGUCUCUUGUUCUAACUUCUUAACAUAAAGGGUAGGUUCAUUAGGACUUUUCACAAAUCCAAGUUUGGACAGAUAGGUGUCAACUCUGUCAUACCAGGCUCUUGGCCUGCUUCAGGCCAUAAAAAGCCUUUCUCAGCCUGUACACCUUGUCUUUAUGUCCAGCAAUCUUAAAUCCAUCUGGUUGCUCAAUAAAGAUCUCCUCCUUGAGAAAACCAUUCAGAAAUGCUGAUUUCACAUCCAAUUGGUGAACCCUCCAAUGCUUCUGAGCUGCUAAAGCAAAUAGGAGCUUGAUUGUGUCCAGUCUUGCUACUGGUGCAAAUGUCUCCAAGAAUUCAACACCAUAUUGUUGAUUGUAGCCCUUCACCACAAGCCUAGCCUUAACACCUAUGACUUUCUUGUGGUGUUAAGCCUAGUCUUAACACCAUAUUGCUAUUGAUUGUGCUUGUUCAAUGAGCCAUCACCAUUAUAUUUGGCUCUGUACACCCACUUAACACCUAUGACCUUCUUGUGGUCUGGUCUGUCACUAAUUCCCAUGUUUGAUUCUUGUUUAUCAUCUCCAACUUAAUUUCCAUAGCUUUCAUCCAGUUCCUAUCUUUGGCAGCCUCUUCAAAAUCUGUAGGCUCGAUCACAGCAAUACUACACCUCUAAUAAACAUCAGUCAAGGUUCUGGUGCCCCUCACUGGUGUAUCAUCAAUAGCAUCAUCAAUUGGUCCCUUUUCUGUAUGCUCAAUAACCAAGUCCAUCUGAUCCAUUUCAAACAUGACUGCCUCAGUACCAUUCCACUUCCACACCUUUUCUUCAUCAAAUUUCACAUCUCUGCUGACUAAGACCUUCUUUGUUGAAGGAUCAUACACUCUAUAACCCUUCUUGUUACUGCUGCAGCCAAAAAAGACUCAUGAAAUAGCUCUGCUCUCGAGCUUGGUUCUCUUUUCCACUAGAACAUGUGCAUAGCACACACAGCCAAAAACUUUCAGGUGAGUUACCACUGGUUUGACUCCAUGCCAAGCCUCAAAAGGUGUUUUACCCUUGACUGCUUGAGUUGGCAGCCUAUUGAGCAGGUAUAUUGAGGUGUUGACUGCCUCAGCCUAAAACUGACUUGGAAGCUUGCUUUGAAACAACAGGCAUCUGGUCAUGUUUAGCACUGUUCUAUUUUUCCUUUCACAAACUCCAUUCUGUUAAGGAGUAUAGACUGUUGUAAGCUGAUGGUGAAUCCCAGCAUUUUCACAAAGCUUCUGAAAUCUAUCAGACACAUAUUCAGAGCCAUUAUCAGUCCUCAAGGCUCUAAUUUUACAACCUGACUGAUUUUCAGCAUAUGCCUUAAAUUUGCAGAAGACCUCAAAUACCUCUGACUUUUGCUUCAAGAAGUAGACCCAACACAACCUUGUUAGAUCAUCUAUAAACAGGUAAAAUACCCAUUGUCACUGAUUGAAGGUGUUCUCAUAGGACCACAAACAUCAGAAUGCACUAAUUCGAGCUUAUCUUGAGCUCUCCAAGCACUGUCAGCAGGAAAAUGCAGUCUAGCCUGCUUACCAAGCUGACAAACCUCACAAACAGUCCCACUAGCUUCAAUUUUAGACAUGUCUUCAACCAAAUUGAGUCUAUGCAACAUAUCAAUGAAUAUGAAAUUAGCAUGGCCUAAUCUCUUAUGCCACAAGUCAGUGCUAUCAGCAAGGCUGGUGUAUGCCUUUCUUUCCACUUGGCUAACAUCCAGAAUGAAGCAUUUAUCAGCCAUAGAGACUGUAACUAGCUCCUGACCAUGCAUGUCUUGAACAAUACAAUAGCCAUCCUUAAAGACCAAUGUAUAGCCCUUUUCAACUAAUUGGCCUACACUAAGCAAGUUCUGGUCUAAGUCAGGUACAAAGAGCACAUCAGUGAUUAGCUUGUUACCUGAGCCAGUGUUGACCAACACAUUGCCUUUGCCUUUAACCUCAAUUAGCUUCCCAUCUCCAAUUCUGAUCUUCGAGUAGAAGCUUCUGUCUAGCCCCUUAAACAGCUUCUCAUUAGCUGCCAUAUGGUGUGAGCAGCCACUGUCUAGUAGUCAAUCAUUGCUGGCCUUUGUUGUGCCAACAAAACAGGUUGCUAUAAACACAUACUCCUCUUGAGUUUGCAAAUCCUCAGCAGGUCGAGCCUGUUGCUGAGUGACCUCCUUUGGCCUGCCCUUGCACACCUUCUCCACAUGACCAAACUGCUUGCACUUCCUGCAUUGGAUGUCUGGCCUAAACCAACAGUAUUUUUCUGAAUGAGUUGUCUUUUUGCAGUGAACACAUGGUGGAAACACCUUUUUUGCUUCAUCUCUUCCUGGUUUGACCCUCCUAUUGUGCCAAGGCUUUUUGCCUUUUGCACUUGAACUCGAGCCUUCACUGGCUUUUACCUGGAAAGUAGCUUCAGGAUUUUCCUCCUGCCUAUUUGCCCUCCUUUACUCAAGUGCAUACAGGGAGUUUAUCAGCUCAGAAAAUAAAAUGGCUGAUAAGUCCCUCGAGUCCUCAAUUGAAGAGAUCUUUGACUCAAAUUUCUCAAGGAGAGUUGUGAUGACCUUUUCAACAACUCUGCUCUCUAUGAAGUCCACUCCAAGGAGCCUUAUGCUGUUGUCAAUGGCCAUUAUUCUGUCUGAGUACUGCUUGAUGGUCUCAGACUCCUUCAUCCUCAAAUUCUCAAAGUCUCUUUUGAGAUUGAUCACCUGUUGCUGCUUUAUCUUGUCAGUCCCCAUGAACUCCUCCUUUAGCUUCUUCCAUGCCUGCUUUGGUGAGUCACAGGCCAUGAUGUGAGUGAAUAUCACAUUAGACACUCCAUUUUAUAGACAGGCCAUAACCUUGUGCUUCUUGGCUCGCUCCUCAGCAUGCUGCCUCAUUUGAGCAAUAGUGAGAUUGGCUCUCAAUGGAGGUGGUUCAGCUUCAUUCUCGAUUACACUCCAAAGAUCGUGUGCCUAGAGGUAUGUCUUUAUUUUAACUAUCUAGAUGUGAUAGUUUUCUCCAGUGAACACUGGUGGUGGUGGUGGAGUGAAACUCAUUCUUCUUGUUUGAGUUUAACUGCUUUAAUCUUCUCUAAUUUUAAGCUUUGCUUUUGGUUUUGGUUUGAACACAACAAAAUGCAAAGCCCCCUCAAAGACUCGGGCUCAUGAUACUAUUUGUUGGAACAAUAGCAGCAUGUAUCAACCCAAUUAGCAAUCAAAACCAAAUGAGAUCGAAGCAGAAAAGAAAACAAAGCAAAAGCAAUAAACAAGACUUGAAUAUUCAGCAAAAUGUAACUGAACAACUUAACUUUUUCAUUCAAAUUUGAAAAACAUAUACUGGAGUUACAAUUUGACAUAGUUGACAGUUACCUAAUGAUAUAACUGCUCCCAAUUAAACUAAACUAAUACAAGCUUAAGUCAAAUACAAAGAUAAGCUGACAUACCAGCUUUUACAUAAAAAAAUCCAAUCACAAACUUAAUCCUACUAACUUUAGAAGCUAGUUAAAACUGAACUAAGUAAAAUUACAUAGCAACAAAAUGGCCAAAUCAGAUUACUUCAUUCGGUCCAGUUUCAUCCUUGCGCACCAAGCAAUGCUGCUGAGCUCGAUGGCCAACCAUACUGCUGGUUUCAUGUUGCAAUGCAGUCCAGCUUUCAACAAUCUUGACAAUGGAGGCAAAGGAAUGGUUGGCUUACUGUCCUCCUUUUAUGUCUAUAUCAUUUGGAAUUUUCUUUUAGGUUGUCUUUUAGAAUGUAAUCCCAAAAUCUAUGCAAUACAGACUCUACCCAAAAAGAAAAAUCAAAUUCAACUUUGAAUUGGUACUGCCUUAUCAGGAUCAUAGUUUUCAAAGACAUUAGGAUUUUGAUCUAAAUAUAAAUCUUACAAAUAAAUAAGUGAUGUGUAUUUGAGAGCACCAAAAAUAUCCUAUUCCUAUAAAAUAACAAAAAGAAUAAUAUAAGGUAAGUAGGGUCAAAUCCUUAGGGACUGGACUUGCACAAGUUCCUUUUUCUCGAGAAACUAAGUAGUGUCGUGCCCAUGAAAAACGACAUACCUGAAAAAAAAUAGAAUUAAAAGUUUGGUUGAAUUGACAUUACGUAAAUUGAAAUUAAAAUUGUAAAGGUAAAUAGAGUUGAGAAAAGAGAGUUUUUGAUGGAGAGAUUUCAACCUUCGAUUAUCUCGAUCCUCCUUCGGUUCAAUCCUAGGCUUUUAGGUGAUCCUUCUCGAACAGAAUAAGCCAGUUAUAAUGGAAGAGGAUGCCCACGACCACCAGCUCCACUUAAGUUUUAGACUUACGAUUUAGAGGAACCUGACCCUACCCAACCAUUGCUUCUGUGGACUGUCUUACACUAGAUCAUCACUUCUCAAUGGCGAAUGCCACACCAUCUUGUCUCUUGGGCUCGACAACCACUGACACAGUAGGCUAACGAACUGACUAUGCAACCUUAUCAACACAUACAAAGCGGCCGCCUUUGCACAAGAUUAAAAAAUAACUUUUGAAGGGACAUGGACGAAGUGUCAGUCCUGUAGUACGGAGAAACGAUGAAUACUCGUUGAGAAGACUAAGUUCAGAUUCUAAGCCUCAUGAAUCCUUUUGGGGAAUCUCAACAACCUUUGGCUAGAUUAAUUUAGUGGCUCAUGCUUUUUGGGAAAAAAAGAAAUAAAAUUAAUAAAAAUGAAAUUUUAUUGAAUAAAUGAAAGGAACAAAGCUAGAGCUUUUUGGGAGAGGGAGCUUUUACAGAAAAGAUAGUGAAAUUGGUGUCAAUCCAUCCCCUAUUUAUAGUACUCAGAAGACCUAGUUUAUUCCUAUCUAAAUUUUAAAAGAUAAAUAAAGAUAAAAGCUAAAAUUAAAUCUUAACAAUAAUCCUAAUAUAAUUAAAAUUUAAAUAGAGUAGUGUGUUUAUAAAAUCUCUUUUUUAAACUGUUGCCCCCAAGUCUUCCACACUUUGCAUUUUCGGCACCACUUCUUUCCUAGUUCGCAUGUUGGCCCAUUUUAUCUUCAAAUUCAUGCUUUUGGCCCCUAAAUUUUCUUUUUCCUUCAAUUUAGUCCCUACAAAAUAAAACACCAUAAAUAGCUCAAAAUAGUAGGAUCAUACUCAAAAUAAAUAUGUAAUUAAUACAUAAAAAUAUGUCAUUCCAGAGUAUUACCAAUAAGAAUUAAUUGCACUAAAAAUUUUAAAACGUUCUAAUUAUGUCUCCACACUAUCACACUAUCGUACUGUAACAGAGUCAGUUGACAUAGGAGUCCAUGCGUUAUAAAACAGAUUUAUCAAAACUUAACAAAUAAUAUCAGAUUUUCCAUGAAGUCACAUGCACGGUUAUAAGUCAGAGUCAAUACCAAUCAAUUCAACAUAUUCGUAUAUCACAUGUUCUUAAGCAACAAAGCAACGUAAAGGAACACCAACAAACUUAACUGAAUACAAAUUGUACCUAGAUAAUUCCCAUGCAUUAGGCAAGGGCACAUUAUGUUCUGACAGACCCUACUUACUUAGGUUCAACAUAGCAGACAUAUGUAUAGAUCACAAGUUAUUCAUCAUUAGAUUAUCAGAUAUCAAAUUAUAUAGCUUAAUUAUGAUCGUACGGACCCUACAGUAGGCCUGUGUUCGUUUCGAAUGAUGCUUGUGGCCUGAGGGAAAAAUUUCAAAUAUUGGUCCACACGUUUGUGUGGUUUCACAUGGCUUGGAAAGCUAGCUCGCGUGCCUCCAUAUGGUUUGGCACACGCCCGUGUGCUUGCCCGUGUGGUCCUAAUUCGCAAAUAGUGGGUUACACGGCCUAGACACAUGUUAGUGUCAUUGGCCUAUGUGAAUCCUACUCAAGACAUAAACACACAUGGUCUGGACACACGCCCUGACACAAACUUUAAAUCAAACUUAUAGGUAACGAAUUGAACCAGAAAGUAGAAGUCUAAUCUCGUACGUGAUCAAUUUGGCGUAACAUAACAAAAAAGAAAGGUAGUUUGAAGAGAAUAAUCAAAACGAAAAAAAUAAAGAAAGAACAGAGGAAUGGUAACAAUAGAAACGAAAAGUAAAAAGAAAAGCUAAACAUAGGUCAUUAAACCAGCAAGCUCAUUCUUGUCAUCAAUUGACUAAAUUUAACUUUUAACCUACAUGUCCAAAGAUAGUGGUUUAAUCAAAGUAGCAAAAUUUCAAGAGAUAAGAUUCGAACUUAGAACCUCACAUACAUAACUAGAACACUUAACCACUAAACCAAACCAAUUUACUUACCAAAAAUUUCCAAAGUCUAAACUCAAACCGAGGGAUGACCACUCUUGGUUUCAAAACUCAAUUUCUUCUAACCCGAUUUUUGGGAUGUUACAUAUAUCACAUAUGUUGACACCACUUACUGGGGGUGCUAAGGCUUCUUUUGCCUGCCCCAACUAUACCCCUGAUUUUGUUUUCUCAAAUUUCACUUUCUCAAGAAAUGUUCCAUUUGACAACCAAAAUGGUAGCAUCUAGGUUGGGAAGAUUGAUGGAGAAUUUCACCUUUGCCUCAUUUAAAAAGUAUAAAUUCCUUCUCUUCAUGCAAGUCAUGAAUUCAAAAAAAGUGAAAAGAACAAAUUAAGAAAAAUAAAAAAAAACUAUAUUCUUUUAAGAUUGCUAUCCUAUAGAAAGGUCAUUGUAAAAAGUUGAAUAUAUAUGUAUGUAUAUAGCUAGUAGCAUCAAAUUUUCCCAACCACUCUUAACAAUUAAAUAUAAUUAUUUGGUAUAUUGAAAGUGAAAUUUAAAUUUCCAUGUGAUAUUUAAAAACCGUAACUAAUAUUUAUUUAUGAUAUAUAUAAAAACAUGAAUUUGAAGGAGGGGUGAAUAAAACUCGAUUCGAUUCGAAAAAAUUAAAAAAAUUUAAAUUUUGAAUUAAUCGAUCAAGUUAUUCAAAUUUCGAGUUUGAGUCAAAUUAAAUUUUACAAUUUGAAUAACAGAUUUGUAUAAAUACCCUUUUGGUCCUUAUCAAUUUUGAAAAUGAGUAAAUUGGUCCCUCUCAACAACACUUACAAAAAAAUUAAAAUAAUUUUCAAAAAUUCAAAAAUUUAUAUUUUUUAAAAAAUUAUAAAUUUUAAAAAAAUUCUAAAGAAUAUAUAAAGAAAGUUAAAAUUUUAAAUUUUCUAAAAUAAUAAAUUUGAGAUCUAAAUAAGUUAAUUAAUAGGUUGAGUUUAUCAUAUUAAAAUACCUUUUUUUUUCUUUGCUUUGAAAAAGUUUUCAUAUAUAUAUUGUUUCAAAUUUAUGUGCUCUAACAUGAAAUUAGUUAUAUUGAAACAAUAUUUUAAUUUGACAUGUUUAAUUUUUUUAAUUUAACUUGAACAAUUUCACUCGACUUGAUUCGACUUGACUCGAAUUUCAUUUCACUCAACUUGAUUCAAAAAAAAUUUUCAAAUCAAGUUAGGAUGAUAAAAUAAGACUUUUCAGUUCGAUUAACUCGAAAUUUUUUCACUCGUUUCCAUCAAAUGCUCACUCCUAAUGUGAAGAAACUUUUGAACAGACGAUGAUACUUUUUAUUAUUAAUUAUACUACUAAAUUGACAUUAAAAAUAAUUUAUUAGUAUCUUUUUCUGGUAGAUAAUAAUGAAUAUUAAUGUGAUAAUAAUGAAAGUAAUAUUAAUUAAUAGAAGAGUAUAUUAAUGUGAAAUUAAAUAAUUUCAGUAUAUCUUUUAAAAGUUCAUAAAAAAAAUAUAUUAUUAAUAAUUAAAAUUUUAAAAUUUAUAAAAUAAAUGAAUGUAAUUAGAUAAAUUAAAAAAAUAAACAAAAGUUUUUAAUUAAAUAGAUAUAAUUUUUAUAUAUAAUUAUGAUUUUAUUUUAAAUAUGAAAAUAAUUAAUCAUGUUAAAAUUAAUUUUUUUAUAAUUAAUAAAAAUUAAAUCUAUAAAUAUGAUUUUAUUUUCAAUAUGGUAAUAAUUAUUUUACUAAUAAUGCUUUCAUUAUUAGUGUAAUAGUGAUUAUCACUUAAUUAUACUUUGAAUCCAUAUUAAAUUACGCUUAUUAUUUUAGAUUAUCACUUUACUAGUGUUACAAUUAUAUGCCAAUUAAAAUUAAUAUUUAACACUAUAAAUAUAUGCAUUAGUAAAAUAUUUUCAUUCAAAUAACAUCUAAAGAAUUACUCGAAAAACCAUAUUUUAGGAUUUUAUUUGCAUCACAAAAAAAUGUAUGAUUAUUAUUAUUUUAUAAGAUUAGUUGUUAUUAUUUGAUAUUCGAAAGUUUUACUGUUAUUUGAUUUUAAUAACACUUAUGCUAACGAUGUAUAGAAUAAUUACUUUUUUUCUUACGAAACUUAAUUUUUUUUUUGAAAUAUCUCAAUAUAGGUUCUAAUUAUAUUUGUUCAUCUUGACACAAUACUUAGAACUACUUACAACCCAUCCCCAACCCAUGAAUAGGAGGAUAAUGCGUUUCAGCGCACUCGAAUCCACGUUCUUCUAUAUUGACAACAAUACCCAUAUUAAUCAAAUUAACACUCAAUCGACACCAAAUUUUAAUUUUUUAAUUUAUUAUUAAUUUAAAAUUUCGUAUCACCUAAACAAAAAGGAGUGGGUUUGGAAAGAGUUACAAAAUAAAGCAAAUGGAAAUAAAAUCAAAGUUUGAAAAAAAUGGCUUGGAAGGUACAACUUGUGCUCUAUCUAUUUCCCUUUUUGUGUGGAAUUCCACUUAUUUAAUCAAUUAUCUCAAAAAGGUAGAAUUACAAAAUUCACCUCUAAUGUUCGUGAGUUUUUCACUUUGGCUCUUAACUUUUUUUUUUCUUCACUUUCCCACCCAUAGUGUUGCAAACAAUUUCAAGUAAGGCCAAACUUAAUGAAAAUCGUCAAGAAAUAUCAACAAAUAUUUUUGUCCAACGUGGCAACACCUUAGUUGAUGACAUCAUUGAUGACACAAAAUUUUUAGUUUAAAAUUAUAAAAAUUUAAAAAGAAGAGAAAAUUUUUAAAAUGUAGGAAAUAACAAAAUGUAAAAGCAUUUUUCUUCUACCCUCUCCCAAAUGUAACACGCCUAACCCGUAUUCGUCGCUGGAUUAGGGUUACAAGGUAUUACCGAUCAAGACAUAACUUUCAAACAAUUAUAUAUGCACACCUGUUAUAUUCAAAUUAAUAAAACAAAUGACUGAUUACAUAUUAAAUAUACAUUAUUAAUCGCAAAACAAAUAUAAUAUCUUAUGCAUAUAAUCAUAUUUACAACUUAAUAAUCAUGUACUUCAAAAUAAAUGCACGAAUCGUGUGCUUAUCAUUAAAAUGGUAUUUAAAUACAUAAUAAAUUUUAAACAUUUUAUUUCUUAAUAAUAACCAUGCACUUAAUAGACCAAACAAAUCAUAUCACAAAGCUUAUGCCCGGCAUUAACAAAUGUACCAAUUGAUUUAAUAUACUUCAUUGAGUAAUCAAUUAUAUGCACACGAUGUCAAUCAUACAAUCCUCAAUUCGGCUAGCCAAUUAACCUAUAAAAGCUGAACUCAAAUCAUGCAAUACUAACAUUAGCCGAAUCUGCAUGUGCAUAAAUACUAAUUUUAAACUUAUUUUCAAUUCAACUAUACAUCAAUAUAUAAUACUAAAACAUGCUUAUCUUCUUAUUACAAGAUUAUACGCAUAUGCAUACACCAACUGAGCCAUUUCCGAACAUCCAUUAUCCGAACCUAUUGACUAAAUAUUUUAGUCUUUGUACUCCUAUAAUAAACAUCAAUCAUAUUUCAUUUUCAUAUGCAUAACCAAAUUGAAUAACUCUAUACAUGAAACAUCAACUUAAUACUCCAAUAUUUCAUACUAUUUCUAACAAAAACGCUAUAUAUAUAUUUAAUGUCCAAAAUUUAACAAAACAUAUUUUUCCUUAGUAAAAUUACCCAAAUCCUAAAACUAAUAUACCCACUCGUCGAACAACUUCAACUUAGCACACACAUCUAAAAUAAACAUUUAUCCAAAUACCAAAAAUGAUAUCUAACUAUCCAUUAAUUCACAUCUAAUUUAGUUAUAUAACCCUACAAUUAUUAAACUUCUGGAACACCUAUUUCAUUAUCAUCAUUUUAAUCAUAAGUUUCUUUUACUAAAUAAACCAAAUCAAACUUUCAAAACCUCCAUGUACCAUUUAAGCAUCAUCUCAAACAAAUUCAUCACGAAUAUAAGUAUUAAGUGCUGAAUCAUGAAUAGCUCAAAUAUCAUAGUCCAUACCUAUAUCAUCAUUUGACCGAUUGUCAUUACUACAAAACAUAGUUAUUUAUCACAUAUAUCACAUUCAUAUACCACUCAACUAACAUAUGAAAUAAUCUAACUCUACUGACAUACUUACUUGCCAUAUUACCCAGUCACAAGCCAAACAUCACAAGCAUGAAUAUCAUAAAACAUAACCCAUUAUUUUCAUGCCUUAUAUAUAUCCCAAAAUCAAACCCAUCAAGUAUUUAACCAAGAACAUAUAAAACUAAGCUUAACCAAAAUGAAUAAGCCAUUUUUCGCAUGGCUUAUAUUUACAUAUCCUAAUAUCAAACAUAUUAACUAGACUAUACAUGCCAUAGGUUCAAAUUUAAAUUUAUAAAAUACCAAAGAUGGUCGAUAGUGUGAUAGAAUUUUUUGACGAUCCCCGAGCUCGUAACCAACUUUCAAAAUCUAAAAAAAAACAGCAAACAUACACAUAGUAAGCUUUCACAGCUUAAUAAGUCAUAAGCAAUGGAAACAUUUAAUCAUAUACAAAAUUAAUCUAGACAAACCGAAAUAAACCAUUAGUAACUCAUAUACCUUUCCAACUUAUAAUUUCAUAAGUCAAAACAUAUAAGUUUUGCAUAAAAUUCUCCUUUGACCGAAUACCCAUUCAAAUAUUAGUACACUUAACCAUUACUUUUUAUAAUACAUUUACAUUUACAUCAUUAGGCCUAACAUAUAUUAUCACAAAAUUCACAUUAAAAUAUAACAUUAUACUAUCAAUUCAACAUUCAACUUACCUUAUUUCUUUUUAUAUAACUAAUUAGUAUGAGUACGUAUCUGAGCAUUUCUAGCUUGAUUUUUCACUCGAUCUUAAUUUAUUAUUGUCCGUUGAACCAUUCGGAAUUAAAAAGGAUCUUAACUAUAAAUAUCUGCAUUAGUAAAAUAUUUUCAUUCAAAUAACAUCUAAAGAAUUACUCGAAAAAUCAUAUUUUAGAAUUUUAUUUGCAUCACAAAAAAUGUAUGAUUAUUAUUGUUUUAUAAGAUUAGUUGUUAUUAUUUGAUAUUCGAAAGUUUUACUAUUAUUUGAUUUUAAUAACACUUAUUCUAACGAUGUAUAGAAUAAUUACUUUUUUUUACCAAACUUAAAUUUUUUUUGAAAUAUCUCAAUAUAGGUUCUGAUUAUAUUUAUUUAUUUUGACACAAUACUUAGAACUACCUAUAACCCAUCCCAACCCAUGAAUAGGAGGAUAAUGCGUUUCAGCGCACUCGAAUCUACGUUCUCCUAUGUUGACAACAAUAUCUAUAUCAAUCAAAUUAACACUUAAUCAACACCAAAUCACAAAAGAGAUAAGAGUUGAGAAAUGUUUAACAAAUACUGAAGAAGUCUUUGAUGACGACAUUGAUAACAAGCAAGAAAAAGUCAUAAAUCUAAAGUUCAAAUUAACACUUUACAAUUUUGAAUAACUAAAAUAUUUUAAACUAUUAAAUACUAUAAAAUAUUUUAUAUUUUUUUAGUAUUUUUUAUCUUUAUUUUAUUGUACAUAUUUGAGGUUUAUAAUUUUCUCUCUCAACAAUAUUGUCUCAAAAAUUUAAAUGAUGUGACUUAUCACUGUAGGCAUUUAAUUGGUCCAAAUCAAAAUAUAACUCUUUCAACUGUGUGAACGAGUCAAGGUCUCAUCACCUAAUUCAAUUAUCUUAAUUAGAUGAUCAUUUACAAUUCAAUACUAGAUUAUCAUACAAUCAAAAUAUGAAUGAAAAUAAAUUAUAUAAUUAAUAUAUUAAUUAAAAUUUUAUAUAAUGAGUAUUUACGGAUUGACUUAGCUAUAAUAAUAAUCAUAACCACUCGUUAUUGGAUUGAGGUUGAACACAAGUCUUGACUCUAAAACUUUAUUUAAUGUGAUAAAAUAUAAAUAAGUAUUAUUCAUACGAAUUUUUCCGCAAGCUCUUGUUCUUGGAAAUUUCCUAUGUCCAGUGAGAGAUGUACAGUAAUAACUAUAUAUUUAUGAUCAAUUUCGAAGUUUUUGCAAUAAGUUCUUAAUCACAGUCUUUCUGUCUGAAGAAAUUCAUGUCUAUGGCUGUGGACUGUUCCAUAUUCUGUAGGACGAAACUUUGUUUUAUUAAUGCUUUCUUCUUCCUGUUUAUCAUCUCCUCUUUCACAUGUCUUCAUGUAGUCUUCGGCACUGCAAAUGAAUUUGAUUAUGGCCUUCACUGUAACUCAAUUGUUCAUGAAUCCAAACCAGCUGAUGAGGAGUUCAAUAUCAUGCCUUUCUCUCGACGUCAAUAUGGUUACUUCAGUGGUGGUGAUAAAGACCCAAACAAUCCUCCUUCACGUUCGUACUCUGCACCCAAAUCUAAAAGGCUCCUUUUUGAGACUCACCACGUAUUUACAGCCGAAGCUGAUGAUGUCUUUAUGGUGGAAGGAAACCUGAUUUUUCAAACCUCGUUUUACUAUGAACGGAGUAUCUCCUCUGGAAGCUCAUACGUUAUAAGUUCAAGCGACCGUGGGACACUGGACUUCGAUUUUCGAGGCUUCUGGUCUCGAACAACUGGGAAGCUUUGCAUGGUGGGAUCGAGUCAUGCUUACUCCAAAGAAGGUAAACUGCUUCACCUUGCUGCUGUUCUUAAGAUUAAUAAUCUUCAGACUUCAAGUAAUAUUAGUACUUUAGUCACCGGUACCAUGGAUAGCUUGAGUUCUGCUAAUGAUCCAAAUCACUUUGAGGAAAUAUCACUGCUGAUGUUUCCUCGAGUAAAUUACGCUUACACCAUGAUUUCAAAUCAGUUCAGUGAAGGGUGUCCUGGGGGAAUCGAUGUCCAACCGAUGUCGUCCCUCCGCUUAUCGCAAACUCGAACUAUUUGUGAUAUGUUAGGUGGAAGCAAUGCUUUCAAAUUGGAGUAUACUGGCAGUUGUAAUUUUUCAAAGAGUUGCAAUCCAUUUGGUGAUGGUAUUGGAUCAGUAGUAUCAUUGCGUAUGAUUCAGUGCUCAAACGAUAGGCAAAGCUUGAGGCUUCUGAUAGAAUUUCGGAACGAUAGCUAUCAGGGAUACUAUAGCUCUCCCAAUCUCAACACUUCAUUAAUUGGAGAAGGAUCUUGGGAUGCAAAGAGUAAUCGGCUUUGUAUCAUUGCUUGCCGAAUUUAUGAUGCAUGGAGCUCCUUGGAGAAGUCUCAUGUUGGAGACUGCACGACACGGUUGAGCUUAAGAUUCCCGGCAAUCUUGUCUAUCAGAAACACAAGCACUAUUGUAGGAGAAAUUUGGAGUGAGAAGCCUAGGUAUGAAGGUGGUUUCUUUGAUAGGGUCGAGUUCCGAAAUACUGGACGUUAUGGAGGACGAAUUCAACUUCAAGGUUUGAAGUAUGUAUACACGGAAAUGGCCGAAGUGAAGAAAUCAUGUCCAAAGAAGAAUCCUAAGACUAAAAGCAGUAGGGAACACUAUCCAGAUGGCUAUUCUGGUAAUCUGGGUUUUAGAAUGUCGAUCAUCAAAGGUUCCAAAGGAAGAAUCGGAUGGGGUUCUUCGGAUCCUCUUGCGGUAGGUGAUCAGCAAGAUCAGAGAUUUCCGUCUCUAAUACCAUCCUCAAGCUCAAAGCCUAAAAGUUCUGGCGUUGAAUCCAAUUCCAGCAGUGGCUUGCUUAAUAUCAGCUAUAAAAUGAGUAUCAUGCUGCGUAGUUCGGAAUUGGAUGGUGGCCUUAAUACGGUUAACGAAUCUUCAAAUGAAUAUUUGAAAACCGAAAUCCGAAUUUCUGCUGAAGGGGUUUAUGAUAUAGCAACAGGUAGCCUAUGCAUGGUUGGCUGCAGACAUUUAAGGUCAGGUGACAAAACAUUUUCAAGCCAUUCGAUGGAUUGCAAGAUCCUGGUGAAAAUCAAUUUUCCUCCAUUGAACUCGGACAGGAGAAGUACGAUCAAAGGAAGCAUCGAAAGCACACGUGAAGAAAUCGAUCCUCUGUCCUUCAAGCCCCUGCAGUUUUCGGGAAGAGCUUAUUAUCGCAGUUGGGUUACGGAAUCAAUUUGGAGAAUGGAUUUCGAGAUGGACAUGUUGGUAAUAUCCAAUUCUCUUGCAAUUAUCUUUGUAGCAUUUCAAAUCCUUCAUGUCAGGAAGCACCGUGGCAUUGGUCCUUUCGUUUCACUUCUAAUGCUUGUUAUUCUAGCCCUGGGACACUUCAUCCCUUUGGUUCUAAACCUCGAAGCAAUGUUCAUUCAAGAUAGCAAGAGAUCGGUCUUGAUUAGAGGUGGAAGGCGGCUCGAAAUGAACAAGGUUAUCAUUAGAGUCGUCACAAUGGUGGCUUUUCUGCUGCAAGUCCGUCUUCUGAUGCUCUCAUGGACUGCUAGAUGCUCCACUGAAAAGAAAAAGACCUUGUGGAUUGCAGAGAAAAGGGGGCUGUAUGUGUGUGUUCCGGUGUAUGUAAUCGGAGCUAUUAUCGCUUUUUCAGUUAAGUCAAGGCAGAAUGUACAUCUAACUUGGUACUACAUAGAUGAAAUCAUUUUGGGGAGUUCAAGAGCUUAUGCUGGUUUGGUACUGGAUGCCUUUCUUUUUCCUCAAAUAAUCUUCAAUAUGUUCCAGAACUUGAGAGAACCAGCACUUUCUCAUUUCUUUUACAUCGGAAUCACCCUUGUUCGCCUCGUACCCCAUGGAUAUGAUCUGUACAGAGCAAACAACUAUGCUGAUAUAGAUGACUCAUACAUCUACGGAGAUCAUGGUGCAGAUUACUACUCAACGGCUUGGGACUUCAUUAUUAUUGUGUUGGGUAUAUUCUUUGCUGUGAUCAUACACUACCAACAGCGCCUCGGUGGUCGAUAUUUCCUUCCGAAGAGAUUCCAAGAAUCUGUGAUAGAUGAGGAAUUUCCGGUAGAUUCGGAAGAACAAUUGCCAUUGAGAUAUAACACCUAGUGCAUGCUUUAAGUGUUAACUACUUUUGUUACCGUGGACUUGUUUUUAGUACUGAUUCGAAAUAAUAAAUAGAACUGUUCUAAAAAAUGUUUUAUUGUAGCUUGGGUAAGUGUUGGGUAAGAAUAUACCUCCAAUAUGAAUAAGUUUGAAGAGUACAUCUCCUUAUCCAUGUUUAAAUAUGUAUCCAACAUGGAUACAAAGAGAAGAUUUAAACUGAUAAUAAUUCAUUAAUCAUACGAAGUCCAUAGAUAUGACCAUUCCAUCAUAGUGUACAAUGAGAUUCAGACAUAAGACAAACAGGCAUGAAAACGCACUCAAUGUCUCAAACUCAACAACAAAACACCAAUUUAUUCAACUCAAAUUUAUUAUUUUUAGGUCCUAAUAUUGCUAUGGACUAAAACAUCAUGGUUCUAUGUCUGCUUAAUGAGUGCCACAUGUGUAGUUUGUGCAGCUGCAGCUAUCUCCACACUUGCACUUGCCAUCGUUCUCUGCCACAGCCUCGACCACUACAGUGCUGAUGUAGCUGCAAAGAAAUAUCACAACAGAUUAUAUUUAAGCAUAUGUGUUCCACUGUGCAAGACAUAGCUUUUUUUUUGCUUCUCUAGGUAAUAAUAUGAUUACUUAUCCAAAUGGGUUCAAUUUUGGUUAAAUUAUUCAAUAUUGGUCCUAAUAUACCUCUUUUCAGUCUCAAUGACCAAGCUAUUUCCUUUCUUCCUGCAAGCAUAACAAAAAAAGCCUUCAGUUUCAAUGAUAAUUGAUUGCAAACUCAUGCAUUUAGUCACAGCAACCUUAGUAAAUUUAUAUUUUAUCUAUGAAAAAAAUUAUAAUUAAAUUCCGGCAGCUAAUAAAUAUUUUUUUUGAAUUUGCCCCUAGUAGUGCAUACUACAGCUAAAAAACAUGCAGAACUAACUUAGGAACAAUAACAAAAUCAAAGAACCACACACAACAGUAGAAACUGGUCGAAAGCUGAUGAUAAAAGGAUGAUUUCUUACACGCACUGACUCUUGUCAGAGCAGUCGCAGUUGCCGCACUUGUCAGACAUGGUGAAUUUGAAAAAGUUGAGAAGUAAAAGGUUUGUUUGAGUUUCUAAAGUAGUUAAGCUAGCUUGCUAUGUAUAUCCAAAGCUAUGCACUUGAUGUAUUUAUAGAAGAGGAAGUACAUUGAAAUGGUGCAAAGGGAAGGCAUCUGUAGGGGCCCAAGCAGGCAUGAGAGAAGCACACGCCUCUGCUACAAAGGAAACGAAUCUUGAUAAUGGAGGCAAAGAAAUGGUUGGCUUACGGUCCUCCUCUCAUGUCUAUAUCAUUUGGAAUUUUCUUUUAGGUUGUCUUUUAGAAUGUAAUCCCAAAAUCUAUGCAAUAUGGACUCUACCCAAAAUGAAAAAUCAAAUUCAACUUUGAAUUGGUACUGCCUUUUAAGUUGAUAUUUAUAUAUCCAACCGAACUUUCAUAGAUCCUCUUUGUUAAUUCUAACACUUACAUAUUCCCCCAUAAGGUCGAGGCGUUCACCAAUUGUGGUUUGCAUUUACAUGUUCUAUUGGAGGUAAAUCUCAUUUCAAAUCAUAAUCUCCAUACAUUUUGCCAUCAUAUCUCAACAGUUUCCACCCUUUCCCCCUUCCACCAUCCAAGAUACGGAGCUUGUGCACCAAGGAUAAGUAUCCAUUCACAAUCUUUCUUACGCAUAUCGUUAUUAUCAUUUUAGUUUGUUAUCACUGACAUGCACAAUUGAUUUUAAAUAAACUUGCUUACUUGGAGAAGAAUAUUAUCAUGAAAUUAGAUGGAAUUUAACUGGAGCACAAGUGAAAGGAACUCACCAGAUUUUACCAGGAAAAGCUUUGCUUAUUCUAUGGGUUCUUUCCCUUUUGCACUAGGGCCUUCUCCCAUUUCUUUAGUUAAAUAAGAUUAAACAUUUUAUUAAGUACAAAAUCAAUCUAAACUUAAAGGUAAAAACAAGAAUCGAAAACAUGCAAACAUUAAUCAGAAGGAAGUUUCUUUCCUAUCUACCUCUAGUAGAAACCUAUAGUAAUGGUUCCUACUACCCUAUCAUUCUUCAUAUAAAACUAAAGGACCUAAGAAUUUACCAGUUGUUAGCUCAAAAACUGGUACCUUCUUCACGCAGCGAAGAACACACUAAGUUUCUUCUGGGGGAACAGGAAUGAACAGUGAAAAAUGGUGAAUAAAGUCAUCCUCUGUUAAGCUCUUAUCUUAUUUAUAUAGGAAUUAGCCCGUAAUUCCACUAUAACAAGUUACCUAAUCAUUUUACAUACACACUCUAUUCCACUAAUCAAACGAGGUUCUACAGAUGUCUUGCAAAAAUGACAGUUCCUAACUUAAAAUUUUGACACAUAAUUGAUGCAUGUCCCACCUACCCAGGCUAUCAACAGAAAUAUCGAAUGACUUACCUUGCUAUAAAAGAACUUGCCACUAGUGUGUCCACACAUGGAAGAACUUGCCAAGCAAAGGAGUUCGCCAAACGCAAGAAAGUGAAAAUCCAUCAGACUGCGGAACACAACGAAAUAAUCCGCUAGGCGAGUCUGCCCAAAAAUUUGGCUAAUCUUGCUGAUUAGAAGGACUAAAUUGCAAGAUCACAUCCAUCGUGUUAGCCGGCCAAAAUACGGAUUCUAAGGUUUGGGGUGUUAUAACUAGGGUUGCCCCAUUCUACAUCUUGAUUGAACUAGGAUUUCACUUUUCUAAUAAAAAAAACUUCUACAACUUAAUAAUUUUACCUUAUCUUAUUAUAAAUAAAUGGCACCGAUAUGGCAUAAAUAACGAACUUUGAAAGAUUAUUAUGCUACCGAAAAAUAGAGAGUUUUAUUGGCAACUAUUAAAUAUAUUUUUCCGGAAUAAUAAUUUUACUAGUUUCUUUUUGAGAAGAGAGAAUUUUUGUUUUCACCCCAUAAUUAAAGAAAAAUUUUCUAGUUUUGUGUUUUGAUUCAAUUAGUUUGUGCUCACACUCGAAACAUUUCAUGGUUUAAGAAUAGUAGAGAAGAUUGUUUGGUUGAAUCCAGAAAAUGUUAAAGAUCCGCAUAUCCAAAAACAUAUAUACGAUUUUGGUCUAAAAUUUAUUACUAUAAAUAUCAUAAACCGGGUUAUUUUCAAAAUAUUAAUUUUUCGUUAUGCAAAAAAACCAUUUUCAAACUAAAUUUUUUUCAACACCAAGCACAUACUAAAUGUGAGGUUGAAACAACCACACAUUAAGAGUCAGAGCAAUGAUGAGCAACAAUUUUUAGCAAACACGUGUUCGAGUGUCACUGGCUAUGAAGUGUUGAGGCAUACGAAUGAUGGAACACACCAUUUUGAAACAAUUCUACAUAUUCUUGUUUCCUUCAACCUUGAAGCAUUUUUGUUGUUGCUGGGUAUUGAAAUUUGCUCUGGUGCUCUUGUUUACCUGCUACGGACACGUGGUACCACGAGAGGAAACCUAAGAGACGCUCACGAAUGAUCCUUCUCUUUGCAACACUUGUCUUAUUCUCUACUUGAAGGUCACUCAAAUGACCAUUUAUCUGGACACUUCAUCCUCUUGGCCACUUCCUUUUAGUGGGAACACACUAACUCACAAGGGGAAACCAUGCCGCUAAGGUGUAACAACCUCAUUCCAAGAAAUGUUAGAGCAUCAUCAAAACUAACCUACCACCUGGCCAACCAUAUGAUCAAACCACCGCUCGUACUAUCGGUGACAUGGCACCAACAACCACGAGACCUCCUAUAAAUACCUUCCAUAAUGCUGAAGGAAGGAUCUUUCUGCCUUCAACAGCCCUAAGCACUCUUUAGAACCCUGUCUCCUUUGCUACCUUACCUCCCUCGCUGCCUUCCUCUUUUUUCCGACUCUUCACUUAUUUAAGUGAAUUGAUCUUCCUUAUACCACCACCUCUCCUCAUCUCAUCAAUUACUAAUACCCAAUAUCAACAAAAUAUAAAUACGAUAUCUGUUAAAGAGAUACAUAAUAUAUGAAAUCUAUUAAUAACAAUUUCAUUGCUCCAAUCAAUUGUGGUGAACUUUUGUUUAGAUUUAUUUCCCUGAAUAAAUUUAAUAGUAAAUUGUAGUUUGUAGACACCGAAAGCACGUUUCAGGCCAGAAAAAAAAGACAGCGAAAGCUGGUGGAAGGUUUCAAGUUUCUGAUUUUAAGUCAAGUCAGCUGUUGUAGUUUCUGAUUUUAAGUCAUGUCAGCUGUUGUAGGACCUGCCAAUAAAAGCCUUUUGUCUGGACCCAAAAAAUUGGCAAAAAGAAGAAGAAAGGUGCAUGCUGAUUGACAUUGACUUAGCUAUAUGCCAAAAUUAUAAUAAUACAUGGAUUGAAGUAGGGCACAAGUACUAUUCAUACUAGUGCGAAACCCCUUGCUUUGUUGACUUGCUUAAGUGAUAAAAAUUAAUUUUAAUUCGUAAUUCAUUUAAAUUUUUUAUAUUAUUAUUUGUUUUUAAAUUAUAAAAAAAUAUAUAGAAUUAUUAGAUAAAUAUAUGUCCGGAAUGAACUUGAAGAUAUAAUUGUUCAGAUUCACUUGUAUCUAAAUAACUAUUUGUCCAGAUUUAUUGUGCACUUAAAAUAAAAAAUCCUAAAAUUCAAGAAAAAAUCUACAAAAUUUAUAAAAAAAAAACGUAAAAUUUUAGUAAAUACAAGAGUAUAUAUUAAAAAAUUCUAUUUCUAUUUUUUGAAAUUAUAAAAAAAUAAAAACACAAAAAAAGACAUUACGAGCGAAUCUAGUUAUAUGGUUGUCCAAAAAUUUAAUUGUUCAGAUUCAUUAUGCAUGCAAAAUAAAAAAUAAAAUUCCUAAUUUUUAAUAUUUUUAAAUUUUUAUAAAAAUUAUUUUUGGGAUACGUCUCAACAUUCUAUACCAUCAGACCAAAAAUUAAUAAUGUUAGUUAAGUAUGAGCAAAAAAUACCAAUUUGCCUUAUAAUUUUUAGUCGAUUGAGUUUUAACUCGAUUGACAUAAAUACUAUAGUCAAUAUAGAAGGCCAUGGGUUCGACUAUGCUAAAAUACAUUAUACUCCUAUUUAUGAGGUGAGAAGGUAUUAUAAAUAAUUCUAGGCAUUGUAUUUAAAAAAAAAAAUUAAAACCUAAAAUAACUUGUGAUUUUUAAAUUUAAAUACUCAAUAAAUAUAAAUUACUAUGUUGAAAUACCUCUAUAUAUAUUAGCCAGUUUUCUAUAGUUUAGCUACAUAACCAUGUUUCUAUGCUUUCAUUGGUAAGUCUAAAUAGAUUAAACAAUUAAUAAUCUUAUUAGAGACCGCUAAUGUAAGGUCCCAACUCCCAACCUAAAAGUUACUACAUUUGUAAUCACUGAAUUUUCUCUAAAUUAAUUUCGUGUUAAAAGAAGAAGGAUUUUUUUUUAAUUUUUAAUUUUUUUUUUUGCAUUUUGACCCCUAAACCUUCCAUAAUUAGUAUUUUCCAUAAUGUCAUUUUCUCUUCAUUUUCCAUAAUGUCAUUUCCAGUGAGAGAUGUAGAGUGAUGUCUACAAGUACCAGUAGAUAUUACAUGCUUGAAGUUGAUGUUUAAAGUUCAUAAUCGGAUAUUAAAUUAUAAUCAUUCGUAUAAUCAAAAUCGAUAUAAUAAAUCUAAAAAAAAUUAUGAUUACGAAUUAUGAGAUAUUUUUAUAUUUUUUUGGUAUUUUUAUCAUUUUUUAUGUACAUAUUUAAGGUUUAUGAUUUUUUCUCUCAACAAUAUUGUCUCAAAAAUUUAAAUAAUGUGACUUAUCAUUGUAGGCAUUUGAUUGGUCCAAAUCAAAAUCUAACUCUUUCAACCGUGUAAAGAGAGUCAAGGUCUCAUCAUCUAAUUCAAUUAUCUUAAUUAGACGAUCAUUUACAAUUCAAUUCUAAACUAUCAUACAAUCAAAAUAUGAAUGAAAAGAAAUUUUAUAAUUAAUAUAUUAAUUAAAAUUUUAUAUAAUGAGUAUUUAAUUGAAAUCAUAAAAAUUUUAAAAUUUUUUAUGUUAAGAGUUCAUAUCUCAUCAUAAUUUACUAACGUGACACACAUAAGCAGUCACGUGCAUGACACGUCAAUAUUUAAUUAAAUACAUAGUUAAUUUCAAGUCUCUAAAAAUAAAUGAUUGACAAAUAGCAGGAAUUUUCAUUCAUCUCUAUGCUCUAGUUGCUUAAAUCAAGUCAGCUGCUGGACCUGCCAGGAAAAGUCUUUUGUUUGGACCCAAAAUCUGGAAAAAUAUGUGUACCUGCCAGGAAAAGUCUUUGGUUUGGACCCAAAAACUGGAAAAAUAUGUGUAUCUCCAAUGAGAUUGACUUGGCUAUAAUAAUAAUCAUAACCACUCGUUGUUGGAUUGAGGAUGAGCACGAGUCUUGACUCUAAAACUUUAUUUAAUGUGAUAAAAUAUAAAUAAGUAUUAUUCAUACGAAUUUUUCUGCAAGCUCUUGUUCUUGGAAAUUUCCCAUGUCCAGUGAGAGAUGUAGAGUAAUAUCUAUAUAUUUAUGAUCAUUUUCAAAGCUUUUGCAAUAAGUUCUUUACCGCAAUCUUGCUGUCUGAAGAAAAUCAUGUCUAUAGAUAUGGACUGUUCCAUAUUCUGUAGGACGAAACUUUGUUUUAUUAAUGCUUUCUUCUUCUUGUUUAUCAUCUCCUCUUUCACAUGUCCUCAUGUAGUCUUCGGCACAGCAAGUGAAGUUGAUUAUGGUGUUCACUGUAACUCAGUUGUUCAUGAAUCCAAACCAGUUGAUGAGGAGUUCAAUAUCAUGCCUUUCCCUGGACGUCAAAAUGGUUACUUCAGUGGUGGUGAUAAAGUCCUAAACAAUCCUCCUUCACGUUCCUACUCUCCACCGGAAUCGAAAACUUUCCUUUUCGAGACUCACCACGUAUAUACAACCGAUGCCGAUGAUGUCUUUAUGGUGGAAGGAAACCUGAUUUUUCAAACCUCGUUUUACUAUGAACAAAGUAUCUCCUAUGGAAGCUCAUACGUUAUAAGGUCAAGCGACUCAAGCGACCGUGGGACACUGGACUUCGAUUUUCAAGGCUUCUGGUCUCGAACAACCGGGAAGCUUUGCAUGGUGGGAUCGAGUUAUGCUUACUCGAAAGAAGGUAAACUGCUUCAUCUUGCUGCUGUUCUUGAGAUUAAUAAUCUUCAGAGUUCAAGUAAUAUUAGGACUUUAGUCACUGGUACCAUGGAUAGCUUGAGUUCUGCUAAUGAUCCAAAUCACUUUGAGCAAAUAUCACUGCUGAUGUUUCCUCAAGUAAAUUACGCUUACACCAUGAUUUCAAAUCAGUUCAGUGAAGGGUGUCCUCGGGGAACCGAUGUCCAACCGAUGUCGUCCCUCCGCUUAUCGCGCACUCGAACUAUUUGUGAUAUGUUAGGUGGAAGCAAUGCUUUCGAAUUGGAGUAUUCUGGCAGUUGUAAUUUUUCAAAGAGUUGCAAUCCAUUUGGUGAUGGUAUUAGAUAUUUCCCUUCAGUAGUAUCAUUGCGUAUGAUUCAGUGCUCAAACGAUGGGCUAAGCUUGAGGCUUCUGAUAGAAUUUCGGAACGAUAGAUAUCAGGGAUACUAUAGCUCUCCCAAUCUCAACACUUCAUUAAUUGGAGAAGGAUCUUGGGAUGCAAAGAGUAAUCGGCUUUGUAUCAUAGCUUGCCGAAUCUAUGAUGCAUCGAGCUCCUUGGAGAAGUCUCAUGUCGGAGACUGCACGACACGGUUGAGCUUAAGAUUCCCUGCAAUCUUGUCUAUCAGAAACACAAGCACCAUCGUAGGAGAAAUUUGGAGUGUGAAGCUUAGGAAUGAAGGUGGUUUCUUUGAUAGGAUCGAGUUCCGAAAUACUGCACCUUAUGGAGGAAUUCAACUUCAAGGUUUGAAGUAUGUGUACACGGAAAUGGACGAAGUGAAGAAAUCAUGUCCAAAGAAGAAUUCUAGGACUAAAAGCAGUAGGGAACACUAUCCAGAUGGCUAUUCUGGAGACAUGAGUUUUAGUAUGUCGAUCAUCAACGGUUCCAAAGGAAGCAUCGGAUGGGGUUCUUCGAAUAUUCUUGCGGUAGAUGAUCAGCAGUAUCAGAGAUUUCCAUCUCUAUUACCAUCCUCCAGCUCAAAGCCUAAAAUUCCUGGUGUUGAAUCCGAUUCCAGCAGUGGCUUGCUUAAUGUCAGCUAUAAAAUGAGUAUCAUGCUGCGUAGUUCGGAAUUGGAUGGUGGCCUUAAUCCGGUUAACGAAUCUUCAAAUGAAUAUUUGAAAACCGAAAUCCAAAUUUCUGCUGAAGGGGUUUAUGAUACAGCAACAGGUAGCCUAUGCAUGGUUGGCUGCAGACAUUUAAGGUCAGGUGACAAAACAUUUUCAAGCCAUUCGAUGGAUUGCGAGAUCCUGGUGAAAAUCAAUUUUCCUCCAUUGAACUCGGACAGGAGAAGUAAGAUCAGAGGAAGCAUCGAAAGCACACGUGAAGAAAUCGAUCCUCUGUCCUUCAAGCCCCUGCAGUUUUCGGGAAGAGCUUAUUAUCGCAGUUGGGUUACGGAAUCAAUUUGGAGAAUGGAUUUCGAGAUGAUCGUGUCGGUCAUAUCCAACACUCUUACAAUUAUCUUUGUUGCAUUUCAAAUCUUUCAUGUGAGGAAGCACCGUGGCAUUGGUCCUGUGGUUUCACUUCUCAUGCUAGUUAUUCUAGCCCUGGGACACUUCAUCCCUUUGGUUCUAAACCUCGAAGCAAUGUUCAUUCAAAAUAGCGAGAGAUCGGUCUUGAUUAGAGGUGAAACGUGGCUCGAAAUGAACGAGGUGAUCGUUAGAGUCGUCACAAUGGUGGCUUUUCUGCUGCAAGUCCGUCUUCUGAUGCUCUCGUGGACUGCUAGAUGCUCCACUGAAAAGAAAAAGACCUUGUGGAUUGCAGAGAAAAGGGGGCUGUAUGUGUGUGUUCCGGUGUACGGAAUCGGAGCUAUUAUUGCCUUUUCGGUUAAGUCAAGGCAGAAUGUACACCGAACAGUAAGGGCCAGGCAUUCUUGGUACUACAUAGAUGAAAUCAUUUUGGGGAAUUCAAGAGCUUAUGCUGGUUUGAUACUGGAUGCCUUUCUUUUCCCUCAAAUUAUCUUCAACGUGUUCCACAACUCGAGAGAACUGGCUCUUUCUCGACUCUUUUACAUCGGAAUCACCCUUGUUCGCCUCGUACCCCAUGGAUAUGAUCUGUACAGGGCAAACAACUAUGUUGAUAUAGAUGACACAUACAUUUACGCAGAUCAUGGUGCAGAUUACUACUCAACUGCUUGGGACUUCAUUAUUAUUGUGUUGGGUAUAUUCUUUGCUGUGAUCAUACACUACCAACAGCGCCUCGGCGGUCGAUAUUUCCUUUCGAAGAGAUUCCUAGAAUCUGGGACAGAUAAGGAACCUCCAGUGGAUUCAGAAGAACAAUUGCCAUUGAAAUAUAGCACCUAGUCCAUGCCUUGUGUUACUUUUAAGUGUUCACAACUUUUACUGUUUCCAAAUAAUUAUGUAAAUUCAUCCUUUUUCUUUUAUAGCUUAAUAAGCCUAAUGUAAUAUAAAGUUAUAAAUAAAAUUGUUUUAAAAAAUAUUUUAUUUUAAAUUUUUAUUUUAGAUUAAAGUUUGGGUGAGCCUUAAAUGUGAAUAUGUACCCAAAAUGAAUAAAUUUAAAAAGUACACAGUACAAAGAAAAAAAAAAAUUUUGUGUCAGAAUCAAAUAAAAAAAUCCGAAAAAAAGAAAAAAAAAUUGGGUGUUGGCCUGUCAAUGGCCGGCACCCAGUACGCAGUACAAAGAAAAAAAUUUAUUUAUUUUUAUUUUUUUCGUAUUUUUUUAUCUGAUUCUGACACGAAAAAAAAAUAAUUUUUUUUCUUUCUACUGUGUACUGGGUGCCGGCCAUUGACAGGCCAGCACCCAAAAUUUUUUUUUAUUUUUUUUCUUAUUUUUUAUCUGAUUCUGACACAAAAAAAUAAAAUUUUUUUUCUUUGUACUGUGUACUGGGUGCCGGCUAUUGACAGGCCAGCACCCAAAAAUUUUUUUUUAAUUUUUUUCGUAUUUUUUAUCUUAUUCUGACACGAAAAAAAAUAAAAAAAAAUUUUGUACUGUGUACUGGGUGCCGGCCAUUGACAGGCCAGCACCAAAUUUUUUUUUUUGUUUUUUUUCUUUUUUGUAUAUCCGUAUUUCAGUAUUACACAAUUUUUUUAAAAAAAUACCUGGGUUCUGGCCAUUGACAAGCCAGAACCCAAAAAAAUAAUUUUUUUAAGUCUAACAUAAUGAUUAGCCAAUCAUUGGUGCAAAAAAAGAGUGGGUACUGUUCAUUUUAGGUUAUUUUGGUGAUUGUUUUUAAACUUGGGUUAUUUUUGUAAAUAUAAUAUUUUUUGGGUUAUUUGGGUAAAACAGCCUAGUUCUGUCCUGGACGGGUCAUUGGAUCUAAUUCGAAGUCUUAUCCGAAAAUUGAAAGGGUUUGAAUGAAAAUAUAAGCUCAAAAAAUAGACUUGGACAAAAUAAAAAGACUCGUUUAAAAAACGGAUCAGACCUUGGGUAAGCCUUUUUGGCCCAAUCUCGGCCCUAAUUAGCAAAAAGACAAAAAAAAAAGCCUACUAUUUUCUUACUGUUUUGAUACUAUUUUUUUUAUUAUUUUCUUACUUUUUUACUAUCAUUUCAUUAUUAUGUUACUAUUAUUUUGUUAUUAUUAUUUAGAUAUUGUAUAACUCUUAUUUUAAUAUUAAUUUUGUUACUAUUUUAGAGACAUUUGUUUGUUAAGUUACACUUAUCUUAGUAUUAUUUAAGUAUAAAUUUAUUUUUUAAAUUUAUUUUCAAUUUUUUAAGAAUCAUUUAUUUUAAUGUUUUUUAUAUUUUAGAUGUAUUAUAUUUUUAAUUUUUUAUAUAUAAAAAAUAAUAUAAAGAAAUUAAUUUGGGCGGAUCGAACUAGACUCGAGUUUUAGUAUUUUUAUCCAAGUUGGGCUUGAAAAAAAUUUAAGCCCAUUUUUCGGGUCAAAUCGAGCCCAAACAUAGCAAACGGGCCUAAAAUAAUAAUAAUUCAUUAUUGGAUUGAGGUAGAACAUGAGGCUUGACUCUCGGCUUGUUAAAAUAUAUUAUUUGGUACCCAUAUUUGAUUUCAAUGUUUGAUUUGGUAUCUGAGUUUGACUUCAAUGCUUAGUUUGAUACUUGAGUUUUUUCAUAUUAAUGCUUGAGUUUUUCUUUGUCACAUAUAAGUACCUAAAUUUUACUUCAAUGUUUAAUUUGGCACUUGAGUUUUUUCUUUUGUCCCAAUUAAGUACCUAUGAUUAUUUUACUAAGGCACACAUGUAAAAUAUUUUUUGAAGUACACGAUGUUUAGUUUGGGUACCAAAUUAAAUAUUGAAACCAAAUAUAAGCACUAAAUGGUAUAUUAACCCUUAACUUUAUCAUAUAGGGACCUAAAUUUAACAAAAAUAAAAUUAACAGUGUUAACAAUUAGACCUAAAUUCUAAAAUUUUAAAAGUAGAAAGAGUAAGGUCCUGAAAAUAAAAAUAUAGGGACUAAAUUUUAAAUUUAUGAAUCGUACAGGAUCUACAACAUAUUUUAACCCUUUGAAAAAUCAACGAUUAGACCACUUUUAGCAAAUAGCAGGAAAUUGCAUCCAUGUGCUCUAGUUUUUAAGUCAAGUCAGCUGUUGUAGGACCUGCCGACAAUAAUAAUAAUAACCACUCGUUAUUGAUUGAGGUAGAAGACGAGGCAUGACUCUAAACUUCCUUUAAUUUUAAAGUUAAUAUAUUAUUUAGUACCUAUAUUUAAUUUUAAUGUUCAAUUCGAUACCUAAAUUUUUUUCCCAAAUUGGUACCUGAUUUUUUGGGUAUUGAUACUUGAGUUUUCUUUUUCCCAUACCAGUACUCAGGUUUGACUUUAAUGUUUAAUUUAACACCUGAGUUUUUUUUGUCCCAAUUAAGUAUCUAUGUUUUUUUACUAGGCGGACAUGUCAAAUAUUUAUUGAACCACACGAUGUCGUUUAGUUUGAGUAUCGAAUUGAACAUUGAAGCCAAACUUAGGUUUCAAAUUGAAACAAAAAAAAGAUUAGGUACAAAAUUGAAAAUUCAAGCCAAAUGUAAGUACCAAAUGAUAUAUUAACCCUUAAUUUUAUCAUAUAUAUAUAUAUAUGUAAAUAUUAAUCAAAAAAAUUAAACAUUUUGGUGUUGAUUAUAUAAAUAUUCAUAUAAGACAUUCACACCAAAUGGCAUGAUUUCACCCAUAUUUCUGGUAUUGUUUAUACGUUUGAGGGUCAGUCUACAAAAAAAUACAUCAGUUUUCAAAAAUUAUUUAGUUGUUAAAUAUAAGGUUGUCUUUUGCUGUGUUCAUUUUAUAAUGUGAUUUGAUCAAAAACUUCCUUCGGAUUAAAUAUAAAAUAUUGUCAUAAUCCUCUCUUACUUUUCAAAGUCUUGCAAGGUCUUGUUCUUGGAAAUUUCCCAUGUCCAGUGAGAGAUGUAGAGUAUAAUAUCUAUAUAUUUAUGAUCAUUUUCAAAGCUUUUGCAAUAAGUUCUUUAUCACAAUCUUGCUGUCUGAAGAAAUUCAUGUCUAUAGAUAUGGACUGUUCCAUAUUCUGUACGACGAAACUCUGUUUUAUUAAUGCUUUCUUCAUGUUGUUUAUCAUCUCCUCUUUCACAUGUCCUCAUGUAGUCUUCGGCACAGCAAGUGAAGUUGAUUAUGGUGUUCACUGUAACUCAGUUGUUCAUGAAUCCAAACCAGUUGAUGAGGAGUUCAAUAUCAUGCCUUUCCCUGGACGUCAAAAUGGUUACUUCAGUGGUGGUGAUAAAGUCCUAAACAAUCCUCCUUCACGUUCCUACUCUGCACCCAAAUCGAAAACGCUCCUUUUCGAGACUCACCACGUAUUUACAACCGAAGCUGAUGAUGUCUUUAUGGUGGAAGGAAACCUGAUUUUUCAAACCUCGUUUUACUAUGAACGGAGUAUCUCCUCUGGAAGCUCACACUUUAUUAUAAGGUCAAGCGAUUCAAGCGACCGUGGGACACUGGACUUCGAUUUUCGAGGCUUCUGGUCUCGAACAACCGGGAAGCUUUGCAUGGUGGGAUCGAGUUAUGCUUACUCCAAAGAAGGUAAACUGCUUCAUCUUGCUGCUGUUCUUAAGAUUAAUAAUCUUAGGAAGUCAAGUACUAUCAGAACUUUAGUGACUGGUACCCUGGAUAGCUUGAAUUCAAUUGGUGAUCCAAAUCACUUUGAGCAAAUUUCACUGCUGAUGUUUCCCCAACUAAAUUACGCUUACACCAUGGUUUCAAAACAAUUUAGUGAAGGGUGUCCUCGGGGAACCGAUGUCCAACCGAUGUCGUCCCUCCGCUUAUCGCAAACUCGAACUAUUUGUGAUAUGUUAGGUGGAAGCAAUGCUUUCGAAUUGGAGUAUACUGGCAGUUGUAAUUCUUCAAAGAGUUGCAAUCCAUUUGGUGAUGGUAUUGGAUAUUUACCUUCAGUAAUAUCGUUGAGUAUGAUUCAGUGCUCAAACGAUAGGCAAAGCUUGAGGUUUCUGAUAGAAUUCCGGAACGACAGCUAUCAGGGAUACUAUAGCUCUCCCAAUCUCAACACUUCAUUAAUUGGAGAAGGAUCUUGGGAUGCAAAGAGUAAUCGGCUUUGUAUCAUUGCUUGCCGAAUCUAUGAUGCAUCGAGCUCCUUGGAGAAGUCUCAUGUCGGAGACUGCACGACACGGUUGAGCUUAAGAUUCCCUGCAAUCUUGUCUAUCAGAAACCCAAGCACCAUUGUAGGAGAAAUUUGGAGUGAGAAGCCUAGGAAUGAAGGUGGUUUCUUUGACAGGGUCGAGUUCCGAAAUACUGGACGUUAUGGAGGAGGAAUUCAACUUCAAGGUUUGAAGUAUGUGUACACGGAAAUGGACGAAGUGAAGAAAUCAUGUCCAAAGAAGAAUUCUAGGACUAAUAGCAGUAUGGAACACUAUCCAGAUGGCUAUUCUGGAGACAUGAGUUUUAGUAUGUCCAUCAUCAACGGUUCCAAAGGAAGCAUCGGAUGGGGUUCUUCGGAUAUUCUUGCGGUAGAUGAUCAGCAGUAUCAGAGAUUUCCAUCUCUAUUACCAUCCUCAAGCUCAAAGCCUAAAAGUUCUGGCGUUGAAUCCGAUUCCAGCAGUGGCUUGCUUAAUGUCAGCUAUAAAAUUAGCAUCCCGCCACUUAGUUUGGAAUUGGAUGGUGGCCUCAAACCGGUUAACCAAUCUUCAUAUGAAUAUCUGCAAACCAAAAUCCAAAUUUCUGCUGAAGGGGUUUAUGAUACAACAACAGGUAGCCUAUGCAUGGUUGGCUGCAGGCGUUCAAGGUUAGACGGCAAAUCAUUUUCAAGCCAUUCGAUAGAUUGCGAUAUCCUUGUGCAAGUCAACUUUCUUCCAUUGAACUCGCGCAAGAUAAAUAACAUCAAGGGAAGCAUCGAGAGCACGCGUGAAAAUACCGAUAGUCUGUACUUCAAGCCUCUGCAGAUUUUGGGAACAACUAAUUCUCGCAGUUGGGGAGCGGAAUCGAUUUGGAGAAUGGAUUUCGAGAUGAUCGUGUCGGUCGUAUCCAACACUCUUGCAAUUAUCUUUGUUGCAUUUCAAAUCUUUCAUGUGAGGAAGCACCGUGGCAUUGGUCCUAUGGUUUCACUUCUCAUGCUUGUUAUUCUAGCCCUGGGACACUUGAUCCCUUUGGUUCUAAACCUCGAAGCAACGUUCAUUCAGGAUAGCGAGCGAUCGAUCUUGAUUAGAGGUGGAAGGUGGCUCGAAAUGAAUGAGGUGAUCAUUAGAGUCGUCACAAUGGUGGCUUUUCUGCUGCAAGUCCGUCUUCUGAUGCUCUCAUGGACUGCUAGAUGCUCCACUGAAAAGAAAAAGACCUUGUGGAUUGCAGAAAAAAGGGGGCUGUAUGUGUGUGUUCCGGUGUACGUAAUCGGAGCUAUUAUCGCCUUUUCGGUUAAGUCAAGGCAGAAUGUACACGGAACAGUAAUGGCCAGGCAUUCUUGGUACGACAUAGAUGAAAUCAUUUUGGGGAAUUCAAGAGCUUAUGCUGGUUUGAUACUGGAUGCCUUUCUUUUCCCUCAAAUCAUCUUCAACAUGUUCCACAGCUCGAGAGAACUGGCUCUUUCUCGACUCUUUUACAUCGGAAUCACCCUUGUUCGCCUCGUACCCCAUGGAUAUGAUCUGUACAGGGCAAACAGCUAUGUUGAUAUAGAUGACACAUACAUUUAUGCAGAUCAUGGUGCAGAUUACUACUCAACUGCUUGGGACUUCAUUAUUAUUGUGUUGGGUAUAUUCUUUGCUGUGAUCAUACACUACCAACAGCGCCUCGGCGGUCGAUAUUUCCUUUCGAAGAGAUUCCUAGAAUCUGUGAUAGAUGAGGAACCUCCAGUGGAUUCAGAAGAACAAUUGCCAUUGAAAUAUAGCACCUAGUCCAUGCCUUGUGUUACUUCUAAGUGUUCACAACUUUUACUGUUUCCAAAUAAUUCUGUAAAUUGAUCCUUUUUCUUUUAUAGCUUAAUAAGCCUAAUGUAAUAUAAAGUUAUAAAUAAAAUUGUUUUAAAAAAUAUUUUAUUUUAGAUUAAAGUUUGGGUGAGCCUUAAAUGUGAAUAUGUACCCAAAACGAAUAAAUUUAAAAAUUAUACUUUUUUUUAUAUUUAAAUAUAAAUCCAACAUAAAUUCUUACAAAAAUUAAAAGUAAAUUUAUUGGCAUGUAGCAUAACAUUUCCUUGUAAUUUUGGUGUUUUCAGCUUUCCAUUUACCAACUUUUGACUUAGUUUACUCCUCUCUAGUGUUUGAUAAAAGCUAUUAAAAAACCUAUAAUUUAUAACCAUAGUUAAAUAUCCAAUGUAUUAAUGAUAUGUUUGGUAGGAAUAUGAAUUAGUAAUAAAUUAAUUUCAGUCGAUAAUUUAAAUAUUUAUAUGAUCGACUUGUUUGAUAUGUUUAAUAUAAACGAGGACUGUUAUGUUAAAUACUAGAUAUGAACUUUGGGGGUUAGCUGCCCCUAAAAUUUAUAAAAUUUCUUUUAAGGUCCUUUGAAUUUUCAAUUUUUUUAAUUGGAUAUUAUAAUGUAGUGUCUAAAAAGGAGGACAAAUUUGUGUUUGACUUCUUAAACUUUUUUCAAUUUUUUUAUUUGAUUUCUUUUAUAGAAUUUAUAAAUUUUUUAAUUAUAAAUUUAAUAAAUUAAUGCAAAGUAAUAUAUAAAUAUUAAUUUGUUAAUAAAGUAAUAAUUGCAACAUCUAAGUAUAAUUAUUAUCUAAAAUUAAUUAGAUGAAAAAUAAACUUAAAUAAUUAUAAUAUUUAAUAAAAAUUGAGCAUUUAGCUCUUUUUUUCUUCUAAAUUUUGGUGACUAAGAUUAUCCCGAAUGUAAAAAUCUGUUGUUGAAAGCAGGUCUUUUCCACUUUGAUCAUGUAUAUUAUAUAUAAAUAUCUCGCCCCCUUAUCAACAAUUUUAGCUUCGACCUUGUAAAUAACACUCAAAUUUCAAAAAGGCAAUGAAAGAUAGAUAUUACGAUAUCAAAGUGUUUGGUUGUUGAGAAUUGUGAUAUUUGUUACUAUUGUUAUAAUUUAUUUCGUAUGAAGUUUACAUCAGUGUUAAUUAUGAUUAUCAUCCGAAUCUGUAUCAUUAAGAUCAUCAAGAUUUUUUUUUUGGUGUACUUUUCAAAGUAUGAAUCAUUCCAAAUUCAUCUAUGAAUGAAGCUGCGAAUUAUGCAACAUGUUUGUACAAUCCAAUGAAAUAUGAAUCAUCACUUUUAUAAUAUACAAAUUAUUUUUAUGAUAAUUUUUUAUCAUAACUUAAAAAAAAUAAGUUUAAAUAAUAUAAAUUUUUAUUAUAAUUUUAUAAAAUAAAUAUAAAUUAUUUUCAGAACAUAAUUUAUUAUAAUGAUUAUGAUUUUAACCAUUACUUUUCACAACACAUUAUUCUAAACAUUAAAGGUAUGAUUUUAACCAUUACUUUCUACUACUUUCAAUUAUACAAAAAGAUUUAAGUUUAGAUCCCACACUUGACUCGAAGAUAUAAAAACCUUAAUUGGAUGAAGAGAUUGACGAUCUAGUUCGGAGGAGAGGGAUGAUUUUUAAAACUUUUUGAAUUCCUUUGCUUGAAGAUUAAUUUGGUAAUGGUGGAGGAAUAAUUUGCUUGAUGAAAAUUAUAGGGUUUGAAAAUAUUUUCUAUUUCAAAAUUUUAAAAUCUAAAAGGUAAAGGUUAAAUUAUUAGAAAUAAAAGUAUAAAAAUUAAAUUUAAAAUUUUUCAAUAGUUCAGGGACCGAUGACAUAACUUAACCCUUCUAUGAUUGGACCUUUUUAGCAAACAGCACGAAUUUUCAUCCAUCUCUUUGGUCUAGCUUUUAAGUCAAGUCAACUGUUGUAGGACCUGCCAAUAAAAUCCUUUUGUUUCGACCCAAAACCUACAAAAAAAUGACUAAACUGAGUCACAUUGACUUUGCUAUUUUUCAUAAUAAUAAUAGUAAUAACAAUAAUUCAUUAACCUAAAAAUAAUAAUAACUCAAUGGUAGUUUUGUCUUCGACGGGUCAUUGGAUCUGAUUCUAAGUCCUAUCCGAAAAUUAAAAAGGGUUUGGAUAAAAAUAUAGGCUCAAAAAAUAGACUUGGACAAAAAAAAACUCGUUUAAAAAACGGGUCAGACCUUGGGUAAGGCUUUUUGGCCCAAUCUCGGCCCUAAUUAGCAAAAAGACAAAAAAAAACUACUAUUUUCUUGUUGUUUUGAUACUAUUUUCUUAUUAUUUUCUUACUUUUUUACUAUCAUUUCACUCUUAUGUUACUACUAUUUUGUUGUUAUUAUUCGGAUAUUGUAUAACUCUUAUUUUAUUAUUAAUUUUGUUACUAUUUUAGAGACAUUUGUUUGUUAAGUUACACCUAUCUUAGUAUUAUUUAAGUAUAAAUUUAUUUUUUAAAUUUAUUUUCAAUUUUUUGAGAAUCAUUUAUUUUAAUGUUUUUUUAUAUUUUAGAUGUAUUAUAUUUUUAAUUUUUUAUAUAUAAAAAAUAAUAUAAAGAAAUUAAUUUGGGCGGAUCGAACUAGACUCGAGUUUUAGCAUUUUUAUCCAAGUUGGGCUUGAAAAAAAUUUAGGCCCAUUUUUCGGGUCAAAUCGAGCCCAAACAUAGCAAACGGGCCUAAAAUAAUAAUAAUUCAUUAUUGGAUUGAGGUAGAACAUGAGGCUUGACUCUCGGCUUGUUAAUAUAUUAUUUGGUACCCAUAUUUGAUUUCAAUGUUUGAUUUGGUAUCUGAGUUUGACUUCAAUGCUUAGUUUGAUACUUGAGUUUUUUCAUAUUAAUGCUUGAGUUUUUCUUUGUCACAUAUAAGUACCUAAAUUUUACUUCAAUGUUUAAUUUGGCACUUGAGUUUUUUCUUUUGUCCCAAUUAAGUACCUAUGAUUCUUUUACUAAGGCACACAUGUAAAAUAUUUUUUGAAGUACACGAUGUUUAGUUUGGGUGCCAAAUUAAAUAUUGAAACCAAAUAUAAGCACUAAAUGGUAUAUUAACCCUUAACUUUAUCAUAUAGGGACCUAAAUUUAACAAAAAGAAAAUUAACAGUGUUAACAAUUAGACCUAAAUUCCAAAAUUUAAAAAGUAGAAAGAGUAAGUUCCUGAAAAUAAAAAUAUAGGGACUAAAUUUUAAAUUUAUGAAUCGUACAGGAUCUACAACAUAUUUUAACCCUUUGAAAAAUCAACGAUUAGACCACUUUUAGCAAAUAGCAGGAAAUUGCAUCCAUGUGCUCUAGUUUUUAAGUCAAGUCAGCUGUUGUAGGACCUGCCGACAAUAAUAAUAAUAACCACUCGUUAUUGAUUGAGGUAGAAGACGAGGCAUGACUCUAAACUUCCUUUAAUUUUAAAGUUAAUAUAUUAUUUAGUACCUAUAUUAAAAUCCUAUAUUUAAUUUUAAUAUUCAAUUCGAUACUUAAAUUUUUUUCCUAAAUUGGUACCUGAUUUUUUGGUAUUGAUACUUGAGUUUUCUUUUUCCCAUACCAGUACUCAGGUUUGACUUUAAUGUUUAAUUUAACACCUGAAUUUUUUUUGUCCCAAUUAAGUAUCUAUGUUUUUUUACUAGGCGGACAUGUCAAAUAUUUAUUGAACCACACGAUGUCGUUUAGUUUGGGUAUCGAAUUGAACAUUGAAGCCAAACUUAGGUUUCAAAUUGAAACAAAAAAAGAUUAGGUACAAAAUUGAAAAUUCAAGCCAAAUGUAAGUACCAAAUGAUAUAUUAACCCUUAAUUUUAUCAUAUAUAUAUAUAUAUGUAAAUAUUAAUCAAAAAAAUUAAACAUUUUGGUGUUGAUUAUAUAAAUAUUCAUAUAAGACAUUCACACCAAAUGGCAUGAUUUCACCCAUAUUUCUGGUAUUGUUUAUACGUUUGAGGGUCAGUCUACAAAAAAAUACAUCAGUUUUCAAAAAUUAUUUAGUUGUUAAAUAUAAGGUUGUCUUUUGCUGUGUUCAUUUUAUAAUGUGAUUUGAUCAAAAACUUCCUUCGGAUUAAAUAUAAAAUAUUGUCAUAAUCCUCUCUUACUUUUCAAAGUCUUGCGAGGUCUUGUUCUUGGAAAUUUCCCAUGUCCAGUGAGAGAUGUAGAGUGAUAUCUAUAUAUUUACGAUCAUUUUCAAAGCUUUUGCAAUAAGUUCUUUAUCACAAUCUUGCUGUCCGAAGAAAUUCAUGUCUAUAGAUAUGGACUGUUCCAUAUUCUGUAGGACGAAACUUUGUUUUAAUGCUUUCUUCUUCUUGUUUAUCAUCUCCUCUUUCACAUGUCUUCAUGUAGUCUUCGGCACAGCAAGUGAAUUUGAUUAUGGCGUUCACUGUAACUCAGUUGUUCAUGAAUCCAAACCAGUUGAUGAGGAGUUCAAUAUCAUGCCUUUCCCUGGACGUCAAUAUGGUUACUUCAGUGGUGGUGAUAAAGUCCUAAACAAUCCUCCUUCACGUUCCUACUAUGCACCCAAAUCGAAAACUCUCCUUUUCGAGACUCACCACGUAUUUACAACCGAUGCUGAUGAUGUCUUUAUGGUGGAAGGAAACCUGAUUUUUCAAACCUCGUUUUACUAUGAACAGAGUAUCUCCUCUGGAAGCUCAUAUUUUCGUGGGACACUGGACUUCGAUUUUCGAGGCUUCUGGUCUCGAACAACCGGGAAGCUUUGCAUGGUGGGAUCGAGUUAUGCUUACUCCAAAGAAGGUAAACUGCUUCAUCUUGCUGCUGUUCUUAAGAUUAAUAAUCUUCAGAGUUCAAGUAAUAUUAGUACUUUAGUCACCGGUACCAUGGAUAGCUUGAGUUCUGCUAAUGAUCCAAAUCACUUUGAGCAAAUAUCACUGCUGAUGUUUCCUCAAGUAAAUUACGCUUACACCAUGAUUUCAAAUCAGUUUAGUAAAGGGUGUCCUCGGGGAACCGAUGUCCAACCGAUGUCAUCCCUCCGCUUAUCGCAAACUCGAACUAUUUGUGAUAUGUUAGGUGGAAGCAAUGCUUUCGAAUUGGAGUAUACUGGCAGUUGUAAUUCUUCAAAGAGUUGCAAUCCAUUUGGUGAUGGUAUUGGAUAUUUACCUUCAGUAAUAUCGUUGAGUAUGAUUCAGUGCUCAAACGAUAGGCAAAGCUUGAGGUUUCUGAUAGAAUUCCGGAACGACAGCUAUCAGGGAUACUAUAGCUCUCCCAAUCUCAACACUUCAUUAAUUGGAGAAGGAUCUUGGGAUGCAAAGAGUAAUCGGCUUUGUAUCAUUGCUUGCCGAAUCUAUGAUGCAUCGAGCUCCUUGGAGAAGUCUCAUGUCGGAGACUGCACGACACGGUUGAGCUUAAGAUUCCCUGCAAUCUUGUCUAUCAGAAACCCAAGCACCAUUGUAGGAGAAAUUUGGAGUGAGAAGCCUAGGAAUGAAGGUGGUUUCUUUGACAGGGUCGAGUUCCGAAAUACUGGACGUUAUGGAGGAGGAAUUCAACUUCAAGGUUUGAAGUAUGUGUACACGGAAAUGGACGAAGUGAAGAAAUCAUGUCCAAAGAAGAAUUCUAGGACUAAUAGCAGUAUGGAACACUAUCCAGAUGGCUAUUCUGGAGACAUGAGUUUUAGUAUGUCCAUCAUUAACGGUUCCAAAGGAAGCAUCGGAUGGGGUUCUUCGGAUAUUCUUGCGGUAGAUGAUCAGCAGUAUCAGAGAUUUCCAUCUCUAUUACCAUCCUCAAGCUCAAAGCCUAAAAGUUCUGGCGUUGAAUCCGAUUCCAGCAGUGGCUUGCUUAAUGUCAGCUAUAAAAUUAGCAUCCCGCCACUUAGUUUGGAAUUGGAUGGUGGCCUCAAACCGGUUAACCAAUCUUCAUAUGAAUAUCUGCAAACCAAAAUCCAAAUUUCUGCUGAAGGGGUUUAUGAUACAACAACAGGUAGCCUAUGCAUGGUUGGCUGCAGGCGUUCAAGGUUAGACGGCAAAUCAUUUUCAAGCCAUUCGAUAGAUUGCGAUAUCCUUGUGCAAGUCAACUUUCUUCCAUUGAACUCGCGCAAGACAAAUAACAUUAAGGGAAGCAUCGAGAGCACGCGUGAAAAAACCGAUAGUCUGUAUUUCAAGCCUCUGCAGAUUUUGGGAACAACUUAUUCUCGCAGUUGGGGAGCGGAAUCGGUUUGGAGAAUGGAUUUCGAGAUGAUCGGGUCGGUCGUAUCCAACACUCUUGCAAUUAUCUUUGUUGCAUUUCAAAUCUUUCAUGUGAGGAAGCACCGUGGCAUUGGUCCUAUGGUUUCACUUCUCAUGCUUGUUAUUCUAGCCCUGGGACACUUGAUCCCUUUGGUUCUAAACCUCGAAGCAAUGUUCAUUCAAGAUAGCGAGAGAUCGGUCUUGAUUAGAGGUGGAAAGUGGCUCGAAAUGAACGAGGUGAUAAUUAGAGUCGUCACAAUGGUGGCUUUUCUGCUGCAAGUCCGUCUUCUGAUGCUCUCAUGGACUGCUAGAUGCUCCACUGAGAAGAAAAAGACCUUGUGGAUUGCAGAGAAAAGGGGGCUGUAUGUGUGUGCUCCGGUGUACGUAAUCGGAGCUAUUAUCGCCUUUUCGGUUAAGUCAAGGCAGAAUGUACACAGAACAGUAAUGGCCAGGCAUUCUUGGUACGACAUAGAUGAAAUCAUUUUGGGGAAUUCAAGAGCUUAUGCUGGUUUGAUACUGGAUGCCUUUCUUUUCCCUCAAAUCAUCUUCAACAUGUUCCACAACUCGAGAGAACUGGCUCUUUCUCGACUCUUUUACAUCGGAAUCACCCUUGUUCGCCUCGUACCCCAUGGAUAUGAUCUUUACAGGGCAAACAGCUAUGUUGAUAUAGAUGACACAUACAUUUAUGCAGAUCAUGGUGCAGAUUACUACUCAACUGCUUGGGACUUCAUUAUUAUUGUGUUGGGUAUAUUCUUUGCUGUGAUCAUACACUACCAACAGCGCCUCGGCGGUCGAUAUUUCCUUUCGAAGAGAUUCCUAGAAUCUGUGAUAGAUGAGGAACCUCCAGUGGAUUCAGAAGAACAAUUGCCAUUGAAAUAUAGCACCUAGUCCAUGCCUUGUGUUACUUCUAAGUGUUCACAACUUUUACUGUUUCCAAAUAAUUCUGUAAAUUGAUCCUUUUUCUUUUAUAGCUUAAUAAGCCUAAUGUAAUAUAAAGUUAUAAAUAAAAUUGUUUUAAAAAAUAUUUUAUUUUAAAUUUUUAUUUUAGAUUAAAGUUUGGGUGAGCCUUAAAUGCGAAUAUGUACCCAAAAUGAAUAAAUUUAAAAAUUAUACUCUUUUUUUUAUAUUUAAAUAUAAAUCCAACAUAAAUUCUUACAAAAUUAAAAGUAAAUGUUUAUAUAAAUCUUUAUACAAAUUUAUUGGCAUGUAGCAUAACAUUUCCUUGUAAUUUUGGUGUUUUCAGCUUUCCAUUUACCAACUUUUGACUUAGUUUACUCCUCUCUGGUGUUUGAUAAAAGCUAUUAAAACCUAUAAUUUAUAACCAUACUUAAAUAUCCAAUGCAUUAAUGAUAUGUUUGGUAUGAAUAUGAAUUAGUGAUAAAUUAAUUUCAAUCGAUAAUUUAAAUAUUUAUAUGAUCGACUUGUUUGAUAUGUUUAAUAUAAACGAGUACUGUUAUGUUAAAUACUAGAUAUGAACUUUGGGGGUUAGCUGCCCCUAAAAUUUAUAAAAUUUCUUUUAAGGUCCUUUGAAUUUUCAAUUUUUUUUAAUUUGAUAUUAUAAUGUAGUGUCUAAAAUAAGGACAAAUUUGUGUUUGACUUCUUAAACUUUUUUCAAAAUUUUUUUAUUUGAUUUCUUUUAUAGAAUUUAUAAAUUUUUAAUUAUAAAUUUAAUAAAUUAAUACAAAAUAAUAUAUAAAUAUUAAUUUGGUAAUAAAGUAAUAAUUGCAACAUCUAAGUAUAAAUAUUAUCUAAAAUUAAUUAGAUGAAAAAUAAACUUAAAUAAUUAUAAUAUUUAAUAAAAAUUGAGCAUUUAACUCUUUUUUUUCUUCUAAAUUUUGGUGACUAAGAUUAUCCCGAAUGUAAAAAUCCGUUGUUGAAAGUAGGUCUUUUCCACUUUGAUCAUGUAUAUUAUAUAUAAAUAUCUUGCCCCCUUAUCAACAAUUUUAGCUUCGACCUUGUAAAUAACACUCAAAUUUCAAAAAGGCAAUGAAAGAUAAAUAUUGCUAUAUCAAAGUGUUUGAGAGUUGUGAUAUUUGUUGCUAUUGUUAUAAUGUAUUUCGUAUGAAGUUUACAUCAGUGUUAAUUAUGAUCAUCAUCCGAAUCUAUAUCAUUAAGAUCAUCGAGAUUUUUUUUUGUGUACUUUUCAAAGUAUGAAUCAUUUCAAAUUCAUCUAUGAAUGAAGUUACGAAUUAUGCAACAUAUUUGUACAAUCCAAUGAAAUAUGAAUCAUCACUUUUACGACAUACAAAUUAUUUUUAUAAUAAUUUUUUUAUCAUAACUUAAAAAAAAUAAGAUUUAAAUAAUAUAAAUUUUUUAUUAUAACUUUAUAAAAUAAAUAUAAAUUAUUUUUAUAACAUAAUUUAUUAUAAUGAUUAUGAUUUUAACCAUUGCUUUCUACUACUUUCAAUUAUAAAAAAAUAUUUAAGUUUAGAUCCCACACCUGAUUCGAAGACAUAAAAACCUUAAUUGGAUGAAGAGAUUGACGAUCUACUCGGGAGGAGAGGAAUGAUUUUUAUAACUUUUUGAAUUCCUUUGCUUGAAGAUUGAUUUGGUAAUGGUGGAGGAAAUACUUUGCAUGGUUUGAAAAUAUUUCCUAUUUCAAAAUUUUGAAAUCUAAAAGGUAAAGGUUAAAUUAUUGGAAAUAAAAGUAUAAGAACUAAAUUUAAAAUUUUUCAAUAGUGCAGGGACCGAUGACAUAACUUAACCCUUCAAUGAUUGGACCAUUUUAGCAAAUAGCACGAAUUUUCAUCCAUCUAGUCUAGCUUUUAAGUCAAGUCAACAGUUGUAGGACCUGCCAAUAAAAUCCCUUUGUUUCGACCCAAAACCUACAAAAAAAUGACUAAACUGAUUCACAUCGACUUUGCUAUUUUUCGUAAUAAUAAUAAUAAUAAUAAUAAUAAUAAUAACAAUAAUAGUUCGUUAACCCAAAAAUAAUAAUAAAUCUGUCAUGGCCGGGUCAUUCAACCAGAUCUGAAAUUCCGUCCGAAAAUUGAGAGAGUUUAGAUAAAAAUAUAAGUUUCAAAAACUAGACUUGGGUAAAAAAAAAAGAAUCGUUUAAAAAUCGGGUCAGACCUUGGGUAAGCCUUUUAGGCCCAAUCUCGACCCUAAUUAGCAAAAAGACAAAAAAAGAAGAAGCUAUUUUCUUGCUGUUUUGCUACUAUUUUCUUAUUAUUUUCUUACUUUUUUACUAUCAUUUCACUAUUAUGUUACUACUAUUUUGUUGUUAUUAUUUGGAUAUUAUAUAACUCUUAUUUUAUUAUUAAUUUUGUUACUAUUUUAGAGGCAUUUGCUUAUUAAGUUACACCUAUUUUAAUAUUAUUUAAGUAUAAAUAUAAUAAUAAUUCAUUAUUAGUAUUAUUUAAGUAUAAAUCGAGCCCAAACAUAGCAAACGGGUCUAAAAUAAUUAUAAUUCAUUAUUGGAUUGAGGUAGAACACGAGGCUUGACUCUCAACUUGUUAAAAUAUAUUUUUUGGUACCCAUAUUUGAUUUCAAUUUUAAAUUUAGUAUCUAAGUUUGACUUCAAUGUUUAGUUUGAAACUUGAGUUUUUUCAUAUUAAUGCUUGAGUUUUUUUUUGUCACAUAUAAGUACCUAAGUUUUACUUUAAUGUUUAAUUUGGCACUUGAGUUUUUUUCUUUUGUCCCAAUUAAGUACCGAUGAUUCUUUUACUAAGGCACUCAUGUAAAAUAUUUAUUGAAGUACAUGAUGUUGUUUAGUUUAGGUACCAAAUUAAACAUUGAAACCAAAUAUAAGCACUAAAUGAUAUAUUAACCCUUAACUUUAUCAUAUAGGGACCUAAAUUUAACAAAAAAAAUUAACUGUGUUAGCAAUUAGACCUCAAUUCUAAAAUUUGAAAAGUGGAAAAAGUAAGUUCCUGAAAAUAAAAAUAUAGGACUAAAUUUUAAAUUUAUGAAUAGUACAGGACCUACAACAUAUUUUAACCCUUUGAAAAAUCAACGAUUGGACCACUUUUAGCAAAUAGCAGGAAAUUGCAUCCAUGUGGUCUAGUUUUUAAGUCAAGUCAGCUGUUGUAGGACCUGCCGACAAUAAUAAUAAUAACCACUCGUUAUUGGAUUGAGGUAGAAGACGAGGCAUGACUCUAAACUUCCUUUAAUUUUAAAGUUAAUAUAUUAUUUAGUACCUAUAUUUAAUUUUAACGUUCAAUUCGAUAUUUAAAUUUUUUUUCUUAAAUUGGUACCUGAUUUUUUUUUUGUAUUGAUACUUGAGUUUUCUUUGCCCCAUACUAGUAUUUAGGUUUGACUUCAAUAUUCAAUUUAACACGUAAGUUUUUCUUUUGUCCCAACUAAAUACCUAUGUUUUUUUUACUAGGGCGAACAUGUCAAAUAUUUAUUGAACCAUAUGAUGUCGUUUAGUUUGGGUACCGAAUUGAACAUUAAAGCCAAACUUAGGUUCCAAAUUAAAAAAAAAGAUUAGGUACCAAAUUGAAAAUUCAAGCCAAAUGUAAGUACCAAAUGAUAUAUUAACCCUUAAUUUUGUCAUAUAUAUAUAUAUAUAUAUUAUGGAGUCUACAAAAAAAUACAUCAGUUUUCAAAAAUUAUUUAGUGGUUAAAUAUAAGGUUGUCUUUUGUUGUGUUCAUUUUAUAAUGUUAUUUGAUCAAAAACUUCCUUCGGAUUAAAUGUAAAAUAUUGGCAUAAUCCUCUCUUACUUUUCAAAGUCUUGCAAGGCCUUGUUCUUGGAAAUUUCCCAUGUCCAGUGAGAGAUGUAGAGUGAUAUCUAUAUAUUUACGAUCAUUUUCAAAGCUUUUGCAAUAAGUUCUUUAUCACAAUCUUGCUGUCCGAAGAAAUUCCUGUCUAUAGAUAUGGACUGUUCCAUAUUCUGUAGGACGAAACUUUGUUUUAAUGCUUUCUUCUUCUUGUUUAUCAUCUCCUCUUUCACAUGUCUUCAUGUAGUCUUCGGCACAGCAAGUGAAUUUGAUUAUGGCGUUCACUGUAACUCAGUUGUUCAUGAAUCCAAACCAGUUGAUGAGGAGUUCAAUAUCAUGCCUUUCCCUGGACGUCAAAAUGGUUACUUCAGUGGUGGUGAUAAAGUCCUAAACAAUCCUCCUUCACGUUCCUACUCUCCACCGGAAUCUAAAACGUUCCUUUUCGAAACUCACCACGUAUAUACAACCGAUGCUGAUGAUGUCUUUAUGGUGGAAGGAAACCUGAUUUUUCAAACCUCGUUUUACUAUGAACAGAGUAUCUCCUCUGGAAGCUCAUACGUUAUAAGUUCAAGCGAUUCAAGCGACCGUGGGACACUGGACUUUGAUUUUCGAGGCUUCUGGUCUCGAACAACCGGGAAGCUUUGCAUGGUGGGAUCGAGUUAUGCUUACUCCAAAGAAGGUAAACUGCUUCAUCUUGCUGCUGUUCUUAAGAUUAAUAAUCUUAGGAAGUCAAGUACAAUCAGAACUUUAGUGACUGGUACCCUGGAUAGCUUGAAUUCAAUUGGUGAUCCAAAUCACUUUGAGCAAAUUUCACUGCUGAUGUUUCCUCAAGCAAAUUACGCUUACACCAUGGUUUCAAAACAGUUUAGUGAAGGGUGUCCUCGGGGAGCCGAUGUCCAACCGAUGUCGUCCCUCCGCUUAUCGCAAACUCGAACUAUUUGUGAUAUGUUAGGUGGAAGCAAUGCUUUCGAAUUGGAGUAUACUGGCAGUUGUAAUUCUUCAAAGAGUUGCAAUCCAUUUGGUGAUGGUAUUGGAUAUUUACCUUCAGUAAUAUCGUUGAGUAUGAUUCAGUGCUCAAACGAUAGGCUAAGCUUGAGGUUUCUGAUAGAAUUUCGGAACGAUAGCUAUCAGGGAUACUAUAGCUCUCCCAAUCUCAACACUUCAUUAAUUGGAGAAGGAUCUUGGGAUGCAAAGAGUAAUCGGCUUUGUAUCAUUGCUUGCCGAAUCUAUGAUGCAUCGAGCUCCUUGGAGAAGUCUCAUGUUGGAGACUGCACGACACGGUUGAGCUUAAGAUUCCCAGCAAUCUUGUCUAUCAGAAACACAAGCACCAUUGUAGGAGAAAUUUGGAGUGAGAAGCCUAGGAAUGAAGGUGGUUUCUUUGACAGGGUCGAGUUCCGAAAUACUGGACGUUAUGGAGGAGGAAUUCAACUUCAAGGUUUGAAGUAUGUAUACACGGAAAUGGACGAAGUGGAGAAAUCAUGUCCAAAGAAGAAUCCUAAGACUAAAAGCAUUAAGGGACACUAUCCAGAUGGCUAUUCUGGUAAUCUGGGUUUUAGUAUGUCGAUCAUCAAAGGUUCCAAAGGAAGAAUCGGAUGGGGUUCUUCGGAUCCUCUUGCGGUAGGUGAUCAGCAAGAUCAGAGAUUUCCGUCUCUAAUACCAUCCUCAAGCUCAAAGCCUAAAAGUUCUGGCGUUGAAUCCAAUUCCAGCAGUGGCUUGCUUAAUAUCAGCUAUAAAAUGAGUAUCAUGUUGCGUAGUUCGGAAUUGGAUGGUGGCCUUAAUCUGGUUAACGAAUCUUCAAAUGAAUAUUUGGAAACCGAAAUCCAAAUUUCUGCUGAAGGGGUUUAUGAUACAGCAACAGGUAGCCUAUGCAUGGUUGGCUGCAAACAUUUAAGGUCAGGUGACAAAACAUUUUCAAGCCAUUCGAUGGAUUGCGAGAUCCUGGUGAAAAUCAAUUUUCCUCCAUUGAACUCGGACAGGAGAAGUAAGAUCAAAGGAAGCAUUGAAAGCACACGUGAAGAAAUUGAUCCUCUGUCCUUCAAGCCCCUGCAGUUUUCGGGAAGAGCUUAUUAUCGCAGUUGGGUUGCGGAAUCAAUUUGGAGAAUGGAUUUCGAGAUGAUCAUGUUGGUAAUAUCCAAUACUCUUGCAAUUAUCUUUGUUGCAUUUCAAAUCUUUCAUGUCAGGAAGCACCGUGGCAUUGGUCCUCUGGUUUCACUUCUAAUGCUUGUUAUUCUAGCCCUGGGACACUUGAUCCCUUUGGUUCUAAACUUCGAAGCAAUGUUCAUUCAAGAUAGCGAGAGAUCGGUCUUGAUUAGAGGUGGAACGUGGCUCGAAAUGAACGAGGUUAUCAUUAGAGUCGUCACAAUGGUGGCUUUUCUGCUGCAAGUCCGUCUUCUGAUGCUCUCAUGGACUGCUAGAUGCUCCACUGAAAAGAAAAAGACCUUUUGGAUUGCAGAAAAAAGGGGGAUCUAUGUGUGUGUUCCAGUGUACGUAAUCGGAGCUAUUAUCGCCUUUUUGGUUAAGUCAAGGCAGAAUGUACAUCUAACUUGGUACUACAUAGAUGAAAUCAUUUUGGGGAGUUCAAGAGCUUAUGCUGGUUUGGUACUGGAUGCCUUUCUUUUUCCACAAAUAAUCUUCAAUAUGUUCCAGAACUUGAGAGAACCAGCACUUUCUCAUUUCUUUUACAUCGGAAUCACCCUUGUUCGCCUCGUACCCCAUGGAUAUGAUCUGUACAGAGCAAACAGCUAUGCUGAUAUAGAUGACUCGUACAUCUACGGAGAUCAUGGUGCAGAUUACUACUCAACUGCUUGGGACUUCAUUAUUAUUGUGUUGGGUAUAUUCUUUGCUGUGAUCAUACACUACCAACAGCGCCUCGGUGGUCGAUAUUUCCUUCCGAAGAGGUUCCAAGAAUCUGUGAUAGAUGAGGAAUUUCCGGUAGAUUCAGAAGAACAAUUGCCAUUGAGAUAUAGCACCUAGUGCAUGCUUUAAGUGUUGUUAACUACUUUUGCUUACCAUGGACUUGUUUUUAGUACUGAUUCGAAAUAAUAAAAAGAACUGUUCUAAAAAAUGUUCUAUUGUAGCUUAGGUGAGUGUUGGGUAAGAAUAUAUGUCCAAUAUGAAUAAAUUUGAAGAGUACAUCUCCUUAUCCAUGUUUAAAUAUGUACCCAACAUGGAUACAAAGAGAAGAUUUAAACUGAUAAUAAUUCAUUAAUCAUACGAAGUCCAUAGAUAUGACCAUUCCAUCAUAGUGUACAAUGAGACUCAGACAUAAGACAGACAGGCAUGAAAACGCAUUCAAUGUCUCAAACUACAACAACAAAACACCAAUUUAUUCAACUCAAUUUCAUUAUUUUUAGGUCCUAAUAUUGCUAUGGACUAAAACAUCAUGGUUCUAUGUCUGCUUAAUGAGUGCCACAUGUGCAGUCUGUGCAGCUGCAGCUAUCUCCACACUUGCACUUGCCAUCGUUCUCUGCCACAGCCUCGACCACUACAGUGCUGAUGUAGCUGCAAAGAAAUAUCACAACAGAUUAUAUUUAAGCAUAUGUGUUGGACUGUGCAAAGCAUAGCUCCUUUUUUUGCUUCUCUAGGUAAGAAUAUGAUUACUUAUCCAAAUGGGUUCAAUUUUGGUUAAAUUAUUCAAUAUUGGUCCUAAUAUACCUCUUUUCAGUCUCAAUGACCAAGCUAUUUCCUUUCUUCCUGUAAGCAUAACAAAAAAAAGCCUUCAGUUUCAAUGAUAAUUGAUUGCAAACUCAUGCAUUUAGUCACAACAACCUUAAUAAAUUUAUAUUUUAUCUAUGAAAAAAAUUAUAAUUAAAUUCCGACCGCUAAAAAAUAUUUUUUAUGAAUUUGCCCCUAGUAGUAUGCAGCUAAAAAACAUGCAGAACUAACUUAGGAACAAUAACAAAAUCAAAGAACCACACACAACAGUAGAAACUGGUCGAAAGCUGAUGAUGGAAGGAUGAUUUCUUACACGCACUGGCUCUUGUCAGAGCAGUCGCAGUUGCCGCACUUGUCAGACAUGAUGAAUUUGAAAGAGUUGAGAAGUAAAAGGUUUGUUUGAGUUUCUAAAGUAGUUAAGCUAACUUGCGAUGUAUAUCCAAAGCUAUGCACUUGAUGUAUUUAUAGAAGAGGAAGUACAUGGAAAUGGUGCAAAGGGAAGGCAUCUGUAGGGGCCCAAGCAGGCAUGACCGCAUGAGAGAAGCACACGCCUCUGCUACAAGAGUUCAAAGGAAAGGAAUCUUGAUAAUGGAGGCAAAGGAAAGGUUGGCUUACUGUCCUCCUCUCAUGUCUAUAUCAUUUGGAAUUUUCUUUUAGGUUGUCUUUUAGAAUGUAAUCCCAAAAUCUAUGCAAUAUGGACUCUACCCAAAAAGAAAAAUCAAAUUCAACUUUGAAUUGGUGCUGACUUAUCAUGAUCAUAGUUUUCAAAUUAGAAUUUUGAUCUAAAUAUAAAUUGAGAGUACGAAAAAUAUCCUAUUCCUGUAAAAUAACAAAAAGAAUGGUAUAAGGUAAGUAGGGUUUAGAUAAGUAUUCUUGAACAAAAUAAACCAGUUAUAAUGGAAGAGGACGACUACGACCACCAAUUUCACUUAAAUUUUAGACUUAUGAUUUAGAGAAACUUGAAAGAAAUAAACUUAAUAAAAAUGAAAUUUUAUUGAAUAAAUGAAAGGAACAAAAGUAGAGCUUUUUGGGAGAGGGAGCUUUUACAGAAAAGAUGAGUGAAAUUUGUGUCACUCCAUCCCCUAUUUAUAGUACGCAGAAGACCUAAUUUAUUCCUAUCUAAAUUUUAAAAGAUAAAUAAAGAUAAAAGCUAAAAUUAAAUCUAAAUAAUAAUCUUAACAGUAAUCCUAAUAUAAUUAAAAUUUAAAUAGAGUAGUGUGUUUAUAAAAUCUCUUCUUUGAACUGUUGCCCCCAAGUCUUCCACACUUCGCAUUUUCGGCACCACUUCUUUCCUAUUUUGCAUACUAUCCCAUUUUAUCUUUAAAUUUACGCUUUUUGCCACUAAAUUUUCUUUUGCCUUCAAUUUAGUCCCUACAAGAUAAAAAACCAUAAAUAACUCAAAUUAGUAAGAUCAUACUCAAAAUAAAUAUGUAAUUAAUACAUAAAAAUAUGUCAUUCCAGAGUAUUAUCAAUAAGAGUUAAUUGCACCAAAAAUUUUAAACGUUCUAAUUAUGUCUCCACACUAUCAAUGUUAUACUAAUGAGGUGCUUUCGUCACUAAAAUCAUUAAUUUAAUUGUCAAAUGAGACGUCAGAUCUUCUGUGAUAUAAUCUAAAAUGAAAAAUUUAAAGAAAAAUGAAUAUUGUAAAAAUGGAUGUGGUAAAAAGCUUUUACAGAAACUAUUGUUCACUCUAUCUUUUUUUGGUUUUACUUUAUUUUUAGUUUUUAAUUUUAAAAAUUAUGCGGCAACGUUUUAUUUUUCUUUUAAAUUUUUAUCUUAAAUUAUGUCAUAUAAAAUUUUACGUGUCAUUUAAUUGUUAAAUUAACAGUUUCAAAAUAAGAAGAAUCUGAUUGAUAUAAUAUCAAUAAUUUAAGAAUAUAAUUAAAAUAUUUUAAAGUUAAAAGACUAAUCUAAAAUAAGAAUUAUAGUUUGGGUAUGUAUCAAGCAAUUAACUCAAUAAAUAAAUGUGAGUGGCAGUCAUUUACAUCAAUAUGUUAUAUAAGUGGGUUUGGCAUCAUAUCUUAUAUGUUAUUUUCACAUUUAUUUAUUUAUCUUAUUUAUUUUAUUUUUAAAAUAUGAGAUUCUAGUAGGGUUUGUGAAAAAUUGUCCUUUAGGUAAUUUUUUUUUUAAAUGUUAACUCUCCCUUGAAAAAUAAGAAAAUUUAUUUUUUGGCUCAUUUAAAAGGAAUAUAAAAAUUAGGAGCAUGUGUGAUCAAAUAUGUUUGAUUACAUUUUUAUAUAAUAUUAAGAGUAAGGGAUGAUAAAAGUUAUACAAUAUCUUAAUAAUAACAACAAAAUUGUAACAACAUAAUAAUAAAAUAGUAACAAAGUAGUGAAAAAUAACAAGAAAAUAGUAUAAAAGAAAAAAGAAAACAAUAAAGUUUUGCAUAUUCAGGCUAGGCUAGACAAAAAAGGCUUAUCUAAGACUUGACCCGUUUUCUAAAUGGAUCUUAUUUUUUUAUCUUAAAAUUUAUUAUUCAGAAAAUAAAAUGAAAUUUUCAUCUCUUUUCUUCCUUUGUUGUCCAACUAAAUUGCUAGGUGGGGAUAUUUAAUUUUUGAGGUUUUUGACAUAUUUUGGUGAGGAUUUAGAUGUUUUUAGGUAAGGUUUGGGUUGAAACUUGCUAGGAUUUAUUGAGUUUUAGAGAAGCAAAGAGAGUCUCAUUGUAUUGAAUGCGUCUACAUUAAUUGAUUUAAGAGUUUUGAUGUUUAAUUAUUGUUGUUAAAAGUGGUAGAAGAGUAAUCGAAUUUGUAGUGAAUGUUGGAUACGAAUAUACGUAGAACAUGAAUAAAUUUGAAGAUUAUACCUCUUUGUUCAUGGAACAGAUUUGUGCUAAUAAUCAUUCAUUAAUCAGACAAAGUCCAUAGACAUGGCCAUUCUAUCAUGGUAUACAAUGAGGCGGAGACAAACAUGCAACACGCCACCAAUUAUUCAACUUAAUUUAAUUAUGGACUAAAACAUCGUGCAGUUCUAUAUAUGUCUGCUUAAUGAUUGCCACAUGUGCAGUUUGUGCAGCUGCAGCUAGUUCCACACUUGCACUUGCCAUCGUUCUCUGCCACAGCCUCGACCACUACAGUGCUGAUGUAGCUGCACAAGAAUAACACAACAGAUUAUGUUUAGCAUAUGUAAAAGC